Molecule: long non-coding RNA, 58972 nt
Filed under: Hordeum vulgare
Lineage: Eukaryota; Viridiplantae; Streptophyta; Magnoliopsida; Poales; Poaceae
Description: long non-coding RNA (HVUL_LNC007819)
Source: RNAcentral
UUAGUUUGGGUCUAGUCCAUCACGUGAUUCUCCCAAUGACGUGAUCCAGUUAUCAAGCAACAACACCUUGUUCAUAAUCACAAGACACUGACUAUCAUCGAUCAACUGGCUAGCCAACUAGAGGCAUGCUAGGGAUGGUGUUUUGUCUAUGUAUCCACACAUGUAAAUGAGUCUUCAUUCAAUACAAUUAUAGCAUGGAUAAUAAACUAUUAUCUUGAUACAGGAAUUAUAAUAAUAACUAUACAUUUAUUAUUGCCUCUAGGGCAUAAUUCCAACAUUUUACUUAGGCGAUUCUGGAUCGCAGCUAAGUCCCCGAGUGCGGCAUCUCGUGCGCACUCGGAGUGAGUUGAUACUCAUGUAGUUGUCAGUUGUCUUCACAUCCACAUGAGUCUCAAUGAGGGUCUGCUAAGCCUCCGAGUGGAUCUCGAGGAUACACUCGAAGGAAGCUUUUACUUAGGCGAUUCUGGAUCGCAGCUAAGUCCCCGAGUGCGGCUGUUAGUGCACACUCGGAGAGAGUUUUUUUUACUUAGGCGACUCUGGGUCGCAGCUAAGUCCCCGAGUGCGGCUGUUAGCGCACACUCGGAGAGAGUUUUUACUUAGGCGAUUCUGGGUCGCAGCUAAGUCCCCGAGUGCGACUGUUAGUGCACACUCGGAGAGAGUUUUUUACUUAGGCGACUCUGGGUCGCAGCUAAGUCCCCGAGUGCGGCUGUUAGCGCACACUCGGAGAGAGUUUUUACUUAGGCGACUCUGGGUCGCAGCUAAGACCCCGAGUGCGUCUGUUAGCGCACACUCGGAGAGAGUUUUUUAGACCGGAGUCUGCAAAUGCGGAAGAAUUUUGGACCUGCAAAAAAUCAGUCUGCUUUGUAUUACUUCAAUGAUACUUGUUCUUUACAUUGCCUCCGUCGGCGGUCACGUGUAGAAGCGCUUCAGGAGAUCUCCGUUCCAUGCUCGCGGCUCGUCCGUUUCCCUGUCGAGGUUGUAGAGUCGAUAUGCUCCGUUGUUCAACACCUUAUAGAUGAUGAAGGGUCCUUCCCAGGCGGGAGCCAACUUGUGAGGUCUCUGCUGGUCCACUCGGAGCACCAGGUCGCCUGCUUGGAAUGUGCGACUCCUGACGUGCCGCGCGUGAAAUCGCUGCAGAUCUUGUUGAUAAAUUGUUGAGCGAGUUAGUGCCAUCUCGUGCUCUUCUUCUAGUAGAUCCACUCCGUCUUGCCUGGCUUGCUCCGCUUCGGCUUCGAAGAAGAGUUCGACUCGUGGAGAGUUGUGAAGCAAGUCACUCGGAAGGACUACCUCUGCUCCAUAAACGAGGAAGAACGGGGAUCGCCCUGUAGAUCUAUUUGGAGUUGUGCGGAGGCCCCACAACACCGAAGGUAGCUCGGUGACCCAUGCGCCGGCGGCAUGUCCAACUUCUCGCAGGAGUCGAGGCUUCAACCCUUGAAGAAUAAGUCCGUUCGCCCGCUCUGCUUGCCCGUUGGUUUGAGGGUGCGCCACAGAUGCAAAAUCCACUCGGAUGCCUUGGCCUGUGCAAAAACCUUUGAAUCUGUCCGAGUCAAAGUUUGUGCCAUUGUCAGUGAUUAUGCUGUGCGGGACUCCGAAUCUGGAGAUGAUGUCUCUGACAAAUUUGAUGACCGUAAGGGCGUCGAGCUUCUUGAUGGGCUUGGCUUCAAUCCAUUUGGUGAACUUGUCGACUGCUACCAACAGAUGAGUGAAUCCCCCUUGGCCUGUUCUGAAUGGACCGACGGUAUCUAAUCCCCACACUACGAACGGCCAAACAAGAGGGAUUGUCUUCAGCGCAGACGUUGACUUGUGGGAUUUGUUCGAAUAGAACUGACAGCCUUCGCAUCGGUCGACCAUAUCAUUUGCCAUUUCAUUCGCCUGCAACCAGAAGAAGCCAGCUCUGAAUGCUUUGGCGACGAUUGCUCUUGAAGAGGCAUGAUGGCCGCAGGUUCCCGAGUGAAUUUCUUCCAGGAUUAACUGUCCCUCCUCAGGGGAGAUGCAUCGCUGAAGGACUCCUGAAACACUUUCCUUGUACAACUAGCCAUCAAUGACGGUGAAGGACUUCGACCUGUGGACGAUCUGCCUCGCUUGGACUUCGUCCUCUGGUAAUUCUUGCCUCAGGAUGUAUGCAAUGAACGACACAGUCCAAACGGGGAUGAGAGCAAGAAUCUCCAUGAUCAAAUCCACCACAGCGGGGACCUCGACUUCAGUUGGGUCUGUUGAGCUCUUCGGUUGUACCGGUUCCUCUCUAAAAGGAUCUUCUUUCACCGAAGGGAGAUGUAGGUGCUCGAGGCAGACAUCACUCGGGACUGGUCUCCGAGUGGAGCCGAGUUUUGCCAACUCAUCAGCUGCUUGGUUUUUCAGUCGCGGAACGUGGUGAAGAUCCAGACCUUCAAACUUCUUCUCGAGCUUCCUUACUGCGUUGCAGUAUGCAGUCAUGGUGGGGUUCCUGACAUCCCACUCCUUCAUCACUUGAUUAACCAACAAAUCUAAAUCGCCAUAGACCAUCAGGCGAUGGACGCCGAGUGUGAUGGCCAUGCACAAUCCGUAAAGGAGAGCUUCAUACUCUGCCUCAUUAUUGGAGGAAUCUAAAUGUAUCUGCAACACAUACUUUAGCUUAUCACCUUUUGGCGAUAUGAUCACUACGCCAGCGCCGGAGCCAUUCAACAUCUUGGACCCAUCGAAGAACAUAGUCCAAUGAACCAAGUAGAUGUGAGUCGGUUGCUGUUGUUCUACCCAUUCUGCUACGAAGUCAGCCAGAGCUUGAGACUCUAUAGCCUUCUUGGCUUCGAACUUGAUGUCGCAGUAUAACAUAUCCAUAGCCCACUUCGCCACUCGGCCUGAUGCAUCUCGAUUGUGGAGGAUUUCCGACAACGGAGCAUCAGAAAUGACAGCCACCGAGUGGUCUUGGAAAUAAUGAGCCACCUUCUUUGCAGUCAUGUAGAUCCCAUAAAUAAGCUUUUGAUAAUGGGGAUACCUCUGCUUGGAAGGAGUCAGGACUUCGGAGACGUAAUAUACUGGCCGCUGAACCUUGUAUGCUUUGCCUUCUUAUUCACGUUCGACUGUGAGAACAGUGCUGACGACUUGAUUUGUAGCCGCGAUGUAUAGAAGAAGGGGUUCUUUACUGAGCGGGGCAGUAAGAACCGGCUGGGUGGAAAGCAGGGCUUUGAGGUCGUCGAACGCAAUCUGGGCUUCGUCUGUCCACUCGAAAGUAUCUGAUUUCUUCAUGAGUCGGUACAGAGGUAACGCCUUCUCGCCGAGUCAAGCGAUAAACCUGAUCAAAGCCGCUAGGCAACCUGUGAGCCUAGCCGCUCCAUUCGGACGAUGGUCCCGAUCUUUUCGGGGUUGACAUCGAUUCCUCGUUCGGAAAUGAAGAAACCGAGUAACUUUCCGCUGGGAACACCGAAUGAACACUUGGCAGGGUUGAGCUUGAUAUCGUACCUACGAAGGUUGGCGAAUGUUUCUGCCAAGUCAGUCAGCAGGUCGGAACCUUUGCGUGACUUGACUACGAUAUCGUCCAUAUAUGCCUCCACAUUUCGACCGAUCUGGUCAAGGAGGCAUUUUUGGAUCAUGCGCAUGAAAGUUGCUCCUGCAUUCUUCAAACCGAAUGGCAUAGUGAUGUAGCAGAAACACCCGAAUGGGGUGAUGAAGGCUGUUUUUAAUUCAUCCAGACCAUACAGACGGAUCUGAUGAUAGCCCGAAUAGGCAUCAAGGAAUGAUAAAUGCUCGCAACCCGCAGUCGAAUCGACAAUUUGAUCAAUGCGGGGGAGCGGGAAAUGAUCUUUCGGGCAGACCUUAUUGAGAUGCUUGAAGUCGAUGCACAUACGAAGGGACUUGUCCUUCUUGGGCACAAUGACAACAUUGGCGAGCCACUCGGAGUGGUGUACCUCGCGAAUGAAGUUGGCUGCCAAAAGUUUAGCCACCUCCUCUCCGAUUGCCUUCCUUUUGUGCGCGGCGGACUGACGCAGGCAUUCUCGGACGGGCCGAGCGGUAGGAUCCACAUGCAGUCGGUGCUCAGCCAACUCCCUUGGUACACCUGGCAUGUCAGCGGGCUUCCAUGCGAAAAUGUCCCAGUUCUCACGGAGGAAUUGGAUGAGCUCGGCUUCCUAUUUUGGAUCAAGGGUGGUGGAGAUGUUCGUCGGGGCGGCGGUGUCGUCCGUCGGGUGGAUGGUGACUUUCUUCGUGUCGCCCGCCGACUGGAAUGCGGACUCCGAAGCUGGCUUCUUCGAAUGCAUCAAGUCAGCGGGGUCGGCUGUCUUCUUGUACUCAUCCAGCUCGAGGAUAGCCAUCUGCUGAUCGGCAAUCCGCGACCCCUGCUGCAGACACUCUUCGGCCCGCUGCCGAUUGCCUGUGAUGGUGAUCACACCUUUGGGACCCGUCAUCUUCAGCUUCAAAUACACGUAACAUGGACGGGCCAUGAAACGUGUAUACGCCGGACGGCCCAGAAUUGCAUGGUAUGCACUCUGGAAGUCCACCACCUCGAAUGUCAGCUUUUCCUUGCGAAAGUUCUUGUCGGGGCCGAAAACGACGUCCAACGCGAUCUGGCCGAGCGACUUGGCCUUUCGUCCUGGGAGGACUCCGUGGAACUGCAUGCUGCUCUCGCUAAGUUUGGACAUCGUAAUGCCCAUCCCCUUGAGAGUGUCAGCGUACAUGAUGUUCAAGCCGCUGCCGCCAUCCAUGAGGACUUUGCGCAGUCGGACUCCUUCCACCACCGGGUCGACUACCAGAGCCUGCCUCCCCGGGGUGGGUACGUGUGCUGGAUGAUCUGACUGAUCAAAGGUGAUCGCAGUCUGAGACCAUUUGAGGAACGUGGGGUUGGUUGGGGUGGCCAUGUUCACCUCCCUGUUCACCAGCUUCAGUCGACUCUUGCUUUCCACGUCAGCAAAAAUCAUCAAUGUUGCGUGGACUUGGGGGAACGGAUCCUCCUUGUCCUCAUCAUCCUGCUCGUUGUCCUUUUCACUCGGCUGCCCUUCGUCGAACCCUUGGAUCAGGAGGCGACAUUGCCGAGUGGUGUGCUUCAGGAAUAUGGCGUUGCCUUCUUCGUCCAUCUUCGUGUGGAUUGGACAUGGCUGAUCCAGGAUGGAGUUCCUGAACUGCUUCUUCUUGGGGGUGUACUGAGCUUUCCCCUUGCCCUUGAACCUGGCAUUUGUAACGGCGGCUGCCUCUGCCUGCGGAGUGGACGAAGCUUUCUGCUUUUGCUUCCGAUUGCUGUUCCAUCUCCGUCGGCGACUGCCUUGUGCUUGCCGCUAUGUAUGCGGUCCUCUUCUUCGCCAUUUGCAUAGCGUGCGGCUAUCUCCAUCAUCUUGCUCGUGGAGAUGUCGUCCGUCCGACCGAACUUCAGGUACAGAUCUCUGUACCGCACGCCUGCCUUGAAGGCGCAGACUGCUUGAUGCUGUGUGACGUUCUCCACCGUGUGGUAGAGGGUCGUCCAGCGCUGGAUGAAAUCACGCAGGGGCUCAUUCUGCUUCUGGACACAGUGCUGGAGCUCCACGAGACCAGCAGGGCGUUUGCACGUGCCCUCGAAGGUCCUGAUGAACACUCGGGACAGAUCUGCCCAGCUGUAGAUGCUUGAUGGAGCCAACUGGUUCAUCCACGCUCGUGCCGAGCCGUCGAGCAUCAGGGGGAGAUGUUUCAUGGCGACCUGGUCAUCUCCGUCACCGAUCUGGACCGCCACUCGUUAGUCGUCCAACCACGUUUCUGACUUGGAUUCUCCAGUGAACUUGCUGAUCCCCGUCGCCAAUCGGAAGUUGGGAGGGAUGUCAGCUGAACGGAUGGUCCGACUGAAGCACUCGGGGCCAGAGACGAUGGUCCUGCUUCCACUCGGACGGUCUCUAUCGUGACCAUCACGGUGGGCUCGACUCCUGUCGACCUUCCUCUAGGUGAUGGCUUGGAUCAUAUGUGUCACCGACUGAACGCCGAUCAUCGUGAUGUCGGGGCCCGUAAGGCCCACCCCGCGGAGGGGUGCAUGAACGGCGACGAUCUUCGGGAUUCGUGGAACGGCUGCCCCCUCUGCGUCGCUGCUGAGAGUGGGGGUUGUAAACCGACCGAUGCGUGUUCGCGUGAACAGAACUGUUGUGGAUCCUGUUGUGCGACUGGGAGACCGCCAACUUCUGCUGCUGCGCCGUGUGCAACAGGGCACGAAUCUGCUCGAUCCCUCUACCAGCCUCUGAAGCAGUCGGUUGGAGGGAAUCGGCUAUCUUGGCAGCGACAGCGAGGUUGAGGACGGGUGUACGGAACACCUCGACGUUGCUCUGACGAGUGCGUCGACUAGCAGAACGGUGGUGUUGACGGCGAGCGCCGGACGAUUCGCCGACCUCGUGCUCGUUCCGACCAGUCCGGUGGGGACUUUCAUGGGAAUUUGCCAUGAGAACUUCGGCUCCAGGCCCGCGACCCAAGUACUCGGAAGGUAAUUCAGUCGGAACUGAGUCCAAGCACUGGGACAGCGGCGCGACCGCAACCGACUCGAGGACCGCCACUUGAGAAGACGCGCUCUAUCGCGCCUGGGCGUGUCGCACCCAACGUUGAAGCCGCGGACGGCGGGACCGCUUGUUGGGGCACGUGACGGGGGCGAAGAUCGACGCCAGGGCCGAUUGCAGAAGGAUGCCGCGGGAACCGACACGGAAGUGCGUAGCCCUGCGACUGGGAAGCGCCUCAACGUCGAGAGGCGCAUCCCGAAGCCAUGCCGAAUCGUCGAUGAUGAAGGAGAGUGCACCGAAGAGGAUCUCAAGACCCAUGCAUAAAUCUCCGCCGGACGACAUGAUGAAAAGAUGAAGUUGCAAACUCGCCGGAAGUCGCUUAGACGCCUGCCCCACGGUGGGCGCCAACUGUCGUGGGUAUAAGUCUGACAGUAGAUGUGUAGGGUACGAAAGGAUGGACAUAGCCUUAGCUACGGCGAGGUUGUAUGAGUUCAGGCCCCUCUACGGUGGAGGUAAAAGCCCUACGUCUCAGUGCUCUUGGGAGCUUAGUGUCGAGUGGAAUAUAGGAUUACAGUAAAUGCCAACCCCUGCACCAGUGGGGAAGGGCGGCUUAUAUAGAGUGCGCUGCCCUCCACAACGGCCCGGUGGACAUGGGUGGAAUAGUGGCGAAUAAAUGCCUACGUUACAGGUAACGUAUGCCUUAAAUGCUAAUAAUGGUGUAUGAAAACGUGUGACCGUUGCCCUCCUGUGAGGUUACGAUGUACAGAGUGGAAUUCAGUCAGUACGAUAAAUACGCUCCGAAUGCUCGUCACCGACUGGAUGAUGGGGGGUCCUUAGUUCAGACGGAACUGUCUAAGGGCCUUGCCCUCUAUGAAGGGUAGUCCUUGGGUAGGACCUAUAGAGCAGGCCUAUGACCCAACCCUGGGACUAUAACCCCAUCAGGAGCGUUUUUCCUCCUAUAAGACUUUGUCCAGGCUUGUCCCUUGCUACAAAAGGGAUUGGGCCACUUUGCUGCACCAUUGCUACUUUUGUUACUUGUUGCUUGCUACGAAUCAUCUCACCACACAAUCACUUGUUACUGAUGAAUUCAGUGCUUGCAUAUAUUUCCUUGUUGAAAACCACUUGUCAGAUCCUUCUGCUCCUCGUUGGGUUCGACACUCUUACUUAUCGAAAGGACUACGAUUGAUCCCCUAUACUUGUGGGUCAUCAAGACUCUUUUCUGGCGCCGUUGCCGAGGAGUGAAGCGCCUUUGGUAAGUGGAACUUGGUAAGGAAACAUUCAUAUAGUGUGCUGAAAUUUAUUGUCACUUGUCACUAUGGAUACUAAUCCUUUGAGGGGCUUGUUCGGGGUAUCUUCACCUCGAACGGAAGCACAAAGAGUUGCUCCUCAACCUGCUGCACCUACUGAAAAUAUUUUCUUUGAAUUUACUUCGGGUAUGCUUGAGAAACUGUUGGGUAAUCCUUUUACAGGAGAUGGAACAUCACAUCCAGACUUGCAUCUAAUCUAUGUAGAUGAAGUUUGUGGUUUAUUUAAGCUUGCAGGUUUGCCCGAGGAUCAGGUCAAGAAGAGGGUCUUUCCUUUAUCUUUGAAGGAUAAGGCGUUGACAUGGUAUAGGCUAUGUGAUGAUACUGGAUCAUGGGACUACAAUCGGUUGAAGUUGGAAUUUCAUCAAAAGUUUUAUCCUAUGCAUUUAGUGCAUCGUGAUCGGAAUUAUAUUUAUAAUUUUUGUCCUCGUGACGGAGAAAGCAUCGCUCAAGCUUGGGGGAGGCUUAAAUCAAUGAUAUAUUCAUGCCCCAAUCAUGAGCUCUCGAGAGAAAUUAUCAUUCAGAACUUCUAUGCUCGGUUUUCUCAUGUUGAUCGCACCAUGCUUGACACUUCUUGUACCGGUUCUUUUAUGAAGAGAGAUAUUGACUUCAAAUGGAAUUUAUUGGAGAGAAUUAAACUCAACUCUGAAUAUUGGGAGCUUGAAGAAGGUAAGGAGUCAGGUAUGAAUUUCACGUUUGAUUGCGUUAAAUCCUUUGUUGAGAUAAAUACCUUUAGUGAUUUUAGCGCUAAGUAUGGACUUGACUCUAAGAUAGUAGCUUCUUUGUGUGAAUCAUUUGCUGCUCAUAUUUAUCUCCCCAAACAGAAGUGGUUUAAAUAUCAUCCUCCUUUAGAAGUCAAUGUAGUUAAACCCAAUCCAGUUGAAGAGAAAGUCAUUGCCUAUAAUGAUCCUAUUGUUCCGAGUGCUUACAUUGAGAAACCACCUUUCCAUGUUAGGAUAAAGGAUCAUUCUAAAGCUUCAACUGUGAUACGUAGAGGACACAUUAGAACGCCUACACCCCCUGAGCAAAUUAGAGUUGAACCUAGCAUUGCUAUUAUCAAAGAUCUUCUGUCCGAAGAUGUUGAGGGACAUAAUAUUCACUUAUGUGAAGAUGCUGCUAGAAUUGUUAAACCUCACGCUAGAGACAAACGUAGGCCUGUUGUUGGCAUGCCUGUUGUUUCUGUUAAGAUAGGAGACCAUUGUUAUCAUGGCUUAUGUGACGUGGGUGCUAGUGUUAGCGCAAUACCUCAAUCCUUGUAUGAUGAAAUCAAAGAUGAGAUUGCACCUGUUGAGAUAGAGCCUAUUGAUGUCACUAUUCAACUUGCCAAUAGAGAUACUAUAUGCCCUGUGGGAAUUGUUAGGGAUGUUGAAGUCUUGUGUGGUAAAACAAAGUAUCCUGCUGAUUUCCUCGUUCUUGCUACCGCACAAGAUAGCUUUUGUCCCAUCAUAUUUGGUAGACCUUUUCUCAAUACUGUCAACGCUCAUAUUGACUGUGAGAAACAAACUGUCACUGUUGGCUUUGAAGGUGUGUCACAUGAGUUCAAUUUCUCCAAGUUUGGUAGACAACCUCAUGAAAAAGAGUUGCCUAGUAAGGAUGAAACUAUCGCCUUAGCUUCUAUUGCCGUGCCUCCUAUUGAUCCUUUAGAGCAAUACUUGCUUGAGCAUGAAAAUGAUAUGCAUAUGGAUGAAAGGGAUGAGAUAGAUAGAGUUGUCUUAGAACAAUAUCAUAUCCUUAAGAAUAACUUGCCUAUUGAAUUGCUUGGGGAUCCGCCCGCACCAAAGGGUGAUCCUGUGUUCGAGCUUAAACAGUUGCCUGAUACUCUUAAGUAUGCUUAUCUUGAUGAAAAAGAGAUAUAUCCUGUUAUAAUUAGUGCUAGCCUCUCAGAGCAUGAAGAAAAGAAGUUACUAAAAACUCUGAGGAAGCACCGUGCUGCUAUUCGAUAUACUCUUGAUGAUCUUAAGGGCAUUAGUCCCACUCUAUGCCAGCACAAGAUUAAAACUGAUCCUGAUUUCAAACCAAUUGCUGAUCAUCAAAGGAGAUUCAAUCCUAAGAUGAAAGAAGUAGUGAGAAAAGAAAUACUAAAGCUCCUGGAAGCAGGUAUUAUCUAUCCUGUUUCUCACAGCGAUUGGGUGAGUCCGGUGCAUUGCGUCCCUAAGAAGGGAGGCAUUACCGUUGUUCCUAAUGAUAAGGAUGAAUUGAUCCCACAGAGGAUUAUUACUGGCUAUAGGAUGGUGAUCGAUUUUAGGAAAUUGAAUAAAGCCACUAGGAAAGAACAUUGCCCUUUACCUUUUAUCGACCAAAUGUUAGAAAGGCUGUCUAAACACACACACUUCUGCUUUCUAGACGGCUAUUCUGGUUUCUCCCAAAUACCAGUUGCACAAUCUGACCAGGAGAAAACCACUUUCACCUGCCCUUUCGGUACCUUUGCUUAUAAACGUAUGCCUUUUGGCUUAUGUAAUGCACCCGCCACCUUUAAAAGAUGUAUGAUGGCUAUAUUCUCUGACUUUUGUGAAACGAUUGUCGAGGUUUUCAUGGAUGACUUCUCCGUUUACGGGUCUUCCUUUGAUGAUUGCCUCAGCAACCUUGAUCGAGUCUUGCAGAGAUGUAAAGACACCAAUCUUGUCUUGAAUUGGGAGAAGUGCCACUUUAUGGUUAAUGAAGGCAUCGUUUUAGGACAUAAAAUUUCUGAAAGAGGUAUUGAAGUCGAUAAGGCUAAGGUUGAUCCAAUCGAGAAAAUGCCAUACCCCACAGAUAUCUAAGGUAUAAGAAGUUUCCUUGGUCAUGCUGGUUUCUAUAGAAGGUUCAUUAAAGACUUCUCUAAGAUUUCUAGGCCUCUUACCAAUCUCUUGCAAAAGGAUAUUCCUUUUGUCUUUGAUGAUGAUUGUGAGGAAGCCUUCGAAAUACUUAAGAGGACUUUGAUAAUUGCACCUAUUGUUCAACCACCUGAUUGGAACUUACCUUUUGAAAUCAUGUGUGAUGCUAGUGAUUAUGCUGUUGGUGUUGUCCUAGGGCAAAGAGUUGAUAAGAAGUUGAAUGUUAUUCACUAUGCUAGUAAAACUCUAGACAGUGCCCAAAGAAACUAUGCCACUACGGAAAAGGAGUUUUUAGCAGUCGUGUUUGCAUGUGAAAAUUUCAGGUCUUACAUAGUUGAUUCCAAAGUCAUUAUUCACACUGAUCACGCUGCUAUUAAGUACCUCAUGGAGAAGAAGGACGCUAAACCUAGACUUAUCAGAUGGGUUCUCUUGCUACAAUAGUUUGAUUUGCACGUUGUCGACAGGAAGGGUGCCGAUAACCCCAUAGCAGAUAACUUGUCUAGGCUGGAGAACGUUCUUGAUGACUCACAACCUAUUCAUGACAACUUUCCCGAUGAGCAAUUGAAUGUCAUCAGUACUUCCCGUAGUGCAUCGUGGUAUGCUGAUUAUGCAAACUAUAUCGUUGCUAAAUAUAUACCACCUAGUUUCACAUACCAGCAAAAGAAGAAAUUCUUCUUUGACUUGAGACAUUACUUAUGGGAUGAUCCUCACCUUUAUAAGGAAGGAGUAGAUGGUGUUAUUAGACGUUGUGUACCUGAACAUGAACAGGGACAUAUCCUACAGAAGUGUCACUCCGAGGCCUACGGAGGACAACAUGCGGGAGAUAGAACUGCACACAAGGUAUUGCAAUCAGGUUUCUAUUGGCCCACUCUCUUCAAGGAUGCCUGUAAGUUUGUCUUGUCUUGUGACGAAUGUAAAAGAGUAGGUAAUAUCGGUAAACGUCAGGAAAUGCCUAAGAACUAUUCACUUGUCAUUGAACCAUUUGAUGUUUGGGGCUUUGAUUACAUGGGACCUUUUCCAAAAUCCAAUGGGUAUACUCACAUCUUAGUUGUUGUUGAUUACGUCACUAAGUGGGUAGAAACUAUCCCCACUAGUAGUGUUGAUCACAACACAUCUAUCAGGAUGCUUAAAGAAGUUAUUUUCCCUAGAUUUGGAGUCCCUAGAUAUCUAAUGACCGACGGUGGUUCACAGUUCAUUCAUGGUGCUUUCCGUAAAACGCUUGCCAAGUACGAUGUCAACCAUAGAAUUGCGUCUCCCAAUCACCCUCAGUCCAGUGGUCAGGUAGAGCUAAGCAAUAGAGAAAUUAAACUAAUUCUGCAAAAGACUGUCAACAGGUCUAGAAAGAAUUGGUCUAAGAAGCUCGAUGAUGCACUGUGGGCUUAUAGGAGUGCCUAUAAGAAUCCCAUGGGCAUGUCUCCGUACAAAAUGGUGUAUGGGAAAGCAUGUCACUUACCUCUUGAGCUAGAGCAUAAAGCUUAUUGGGCAAUCAAAGAGCUCAACUUUGAUUUCAAACUUGCUGGUGAGAAGAGGUUAUUUGACAUUAGCUUGCUUGAUGAAUGGAGAACUCAGGCAUAUGAGAAUGCCAAGCUGUUCAAAGAGAAGGUUAAGAGGUGGCAUGAUAAGAGGAUACAAAAGCGUGAGUUCAAUGUAGGUGAUUAUGUCUUGCUAUAUAACUCUCGUUUAAGAUUCUUUGCAGGCAAGCUUCUCUCUAAAUGGAAAGGUCCCUAUGUUGUUGAGGAAGUAUAUCGUUUCGGUGCUAUCAAGAUCAACAACACAGAAGGUAAUUGUCCGAGAGUGGUAAAUGGGCAGAGAAUCAAGCAUUAUAUCUUAGGUACUCCCAUAAAUGUUGAAAGCAAUAUUAUCAAUACCAUAACUCCGGAAGAAUACCUAAGGGACAUUUAUCAGCUGUUUCAGACUCUGAAAACGAAGAGCUAUGUGAUUCGGUAAGAAAACAGAGUCCAAAACAUUUCUAGUAGGAAAUUUUCUCCGUUUUGGAAUAUUUGAAAAAAUACAAAAAUUGGAAGUAGUCCGGAAAGUGCGCGAGGAGGCGACAAGCCUGCCCGGGGCGGGCCCACCCCCCGGCCGUGCCGGCAGGGCUUCUGGCCACCUCGUGCGCCUCCCGGACUCUGUUUUCGUGCGGAGUACUCCUUCUGGUCUGGAAAAAAUAAAUAUAUAUUCUCCCGUGAGGUCUGACCCGUGUAUCACGCAGAUUUCCUUUGUUUUCGUUUCGAGCUUGUUUUCUACCGCAGAUUUAGAGCAAGAGGUCGUCCGAGGAAUCUGUAGGGGAGAACAAUCUCCCUCAAGUCUACGGAGAAGAAUAUGCUGACCUGAAAAGGAUGGAGGUCAUGGAGGCUAAGGAAAGGCUACCUAAAGAAACCAAGGGCAAAGCUAAGGAGAAAAAUCACGCAUGGAAUGAAGUGCAAUCUGUGCUCAACAAGGAAGAAGUUGAAGAAGAGGACUUCCUCCAACCCUACCUCCACCUACUGUCUCCAUCUUUGAUUGCACUCUUGAGGUUUUGUGAAACAAUUCGUGCUCGCAAUACUUGUCUCACUCAUGAAGUUGUUUUGCUGGAAAAACAUAUCGCAGAUCUCCAAGGUAUAAAUCAAAGAUUAAUGGCCCUCUUGGAGUCAAAGAUUGCAACAACUCCAUCACCAUCACCACCAAAGGAAGACAACUGAGCAUGGGUAUGGGCAAUCCCCUUGGCUUUUGCCAAGCUUGGGGGAGUUUCCCCGGUAUCGUAUCACCAUCACAUCUUUUGCCUUUACCUUUGUUUUAGUUUGUUCCUUUUCAGUUUUCUCUUUCUCUAGUAGUUUAAAGUCUUAGUGUUUUAGUCUUGAGUUUUGCUUUGUGUAACCCCCGAUGUAUUCGAGCUCGUGAGCCAUAUAAUAACGAGUGUCUUAGUUGAAGGGCUUUGCCUCUUGCCAUGAUCAAUAGAUUGAGAAAGAACAAAAGCAUGAAAGAUCAUGUAAUGAUCUUAUGGGAAGUGAUGGCUUCACAUAUAAAAAGAAUGAUGAUUAAAACUUGUUGAGGGUAGACAAACGUAGACCUUGGUCAUUGUUGCAAUUAAUAGGAAGUGAUAAGGAAGGAGAGGUUCACAUAUAAAUAUAUCAUCUUUGACACCAUCUAUGAUUCUGAACACUCAUCAAACUAUUGCAUGCCUAAGAGUAGAUGUUGGACAAGGAAGACAACAUAAUGAAUUGUGUUUGCUUGGUUCCGAACAAUGUUAUGUGACUAGAGAUCCCUUAGCAUGUGACGAUUGAUUCCACCUCAUAUUAGCCAAAACUCCCGCACCAAGUAGAGAUACUACUUGUGCAUCCAUAAACCUUCAACCCAGUUUUGCCAUGAGAGUCCACCAUACCUACCUAUGGAUUGAAAAAGAUCCCUUAAGUAAGUUGUCAUCGGUGCAAGCAACAAAAAUUUCUCUCUAAUAUGUAUGAUCUAUUAGUGUGUGGAAAAUAAGCUUUGUACGAACCUGUGAUGAGGAAGACAUAAAAGCGACAGACUGCAUAAUAAAGUUCUUUAUCACAGGAGGCAAUAUAAAGUGACGUUCCUCGGCACUAAGAGGACACACAUCCAAACCUCAAAGCGAAUGACAACCUCUGCUUCCCUCUGCUAAGGGCAUAUCUUGUACCUUUACUUUUUGCCCUUGAAAGAGUUAUGGUGAUCUUUACCAAUUCCCUAUUUCGCCUUUAUCUUGGCUACCAUCAUAUGCUAGGGAAAGAUCUAUAUUCUUAUGUCAACUUGGAGGUAAGCAUUCAUGAAUUAUUGUUGUUAACAUUACCCUUGAGGUAAGCAGUUGCGAGGCAAAAUAUAAGCCCCUAUCUUUCUCUGUGUCGAGCUGAAACUUUGAUCUCAUGAGUACCACGUGAGUUGUAGCAAUUGUAGAGAAUGAAAAGAUGAUUGAGUAUGUGGAUUUGCUUUACAAGCUCUUAUUUUACUCUUUCUGAUGUUGUGAUAAAUUGCAAUUGCUUCCAUGACUAAAGGCUAUCGGUUGUUACUUCUCGGUAAGGUUCUUGAUCCAUGCUUUACUUUGUGAAGGAAUUGUCACUUUAGCAUCAGAGAUUAUAUGUUGGUAUUGCUGUUGUGAUCAUGAUCAUGAUGCAUGCAUGUUCGUAUCUUGUUUUGUCGACACCUAUCUCCCUAAACAUGUGGACAAAUUUAUUGAACUAGGCAUUCGCUUGAGGACAAGCGAGGUCUAAGCUUGGGGGAGUUGAUACGCCCAUUUUGCAUCAUGCUUUCAUGUUGAUAUUUAUCGCUUCUUGGGCUGUUAUUUCACUUCACGGUACAAUACUUAUGCCUUUUCUCUCUUAUUUUGCAAGGUUUACAUGAAGAGGGAGAAUGCCGGCAGCUAGAAUUCUGGCCUGAAAGAGCAACAAAGUUGAGAUACCUAUUCUGCGCAACUCCAAACGCCGUAAAAAUCAACGAGGAUUUUUUUCCGGAUUUAUAAAAAAUACUGGGCCGAAGAAGCACCAGAGGGGCGCCAGCAGGUGGCCACAAGCCUGCACGGCACGGCCACCCCCAGGCCGCGCCAAGGGGGCUUGUGGGAAGCCUGCUGGACCACUGGUCCCCCUCUUCUGCUAUAUGAAGGGUUUCGUCUCGAAAAAAAAUCAGGGAGGAGCUUUUUCGUGGAUUCGCCGCUGCCACGAGGCAGAACUUGAGCAGAACCAAUCUAGAGCUCCGGCAGGACGAUCCUGCCGGGGAAACUUCCCUCCCGGAGGGGGAAAUCGUUGCCAUCGUCAUCACCAACACUCCUUUCAUCGGAAGGGACUCAUCUCCAUCAACAUCUUCAUCAACACCAUCUCAUCUCCAAACCCUAGUUCAUCACUUGUAACCAAUCUCCGUUUCGCGACUCCGAUUGGUACUUGUAAGGUUGCUAGUAGUGUUAAUUACUCUUUGUAGUUGAUGCUAGUUGGAUUACUUGGUGGAAGAGUUUAUGUUCAGAUCCUUGUUGCUACUCAUUACCUCUGUGGUCAUGAAUAUGAUUAUGCUUUGUGAGUAGUUACUUUUGUUCUUUAGGACAUGGGAUAAGUGAUGCUAAUAAUAGUCAUGUGAAUUUGGUAUUCGUUCGUUAUUUUGAUGUGUUGUAUGUUGUUUUUCCUCUAGUGGUGUUAUGUGAACGUCGACUACAUAACACUUCACCAUUAUUUGGGCCUAGAGGAAGGCAUUGGGAAGUAGUAAGUACAUGAUGGGUUGCUAGAGUGACAGAAGCUUAAACCCUAGUUUAUGCGUUGCUUCGUAAGGGGCUGAUUUGGAUCCACUAGUUUAAUGCUAUGGUUAGACUUUGUCUUAAUUCUUCUUUCGUAGUUGCGGAUGCUUGCGAGAGGGGUUAAUCAUAAGUGGGAUGCUUUUCCAAGUAAGGAAAGUACCCAAGUGCCGGUCCACCCACAUAUCAAACUAUCAAAGUAACGAACGCGAAUCAUAUGAACAUGAUGAAAACUAGCAUGACAGAAAUUCCCGUGUGUCCUCGGGAGCGUUUUUCCUCCUGUAAGACUUUGUCUAGGCUUGUCCCUUGCUACAAAAGGGAUUGGGCCACUUUGCUGCACCGUUGCUACUUUUGUUACUUGUUGCUUGCUACGAAUCAUCUCACCACACAAUCACUUGUUACCGACAAUUUCAGUGCUUGCAGAUAUUUCCUUGCUGAAAACCACUUGUCAGAUCCUUCCGCUCCUCGUUGGGUUCGACACUCUUACUUAUAGAAAAGACUACGAUUGAUCCCCUAUAUUUGUGGGCCAUCAGACUCCGGUCCAUAUCACCGUCAUUGUUUACACCUCCAUCAUUUACCGCUUUCAUUUACUUUUCCGUUGCUAUCACUAUUACCUUGCCGCUUGUGUUUUGAUCCUUUGCAAACUACAAGUCGAGAGAGAUUGAUAACCUCUUUGUACUCGUUUGGAGUAAAGUUAUUUGUUGUGUGUGUAGGUCCACGUCUUCUGUUGACCAGGACAGGAGACACCUACUUAUUGAGCCUAGGAGUCCUCUUGGUUCGAUAAACCUUACAGUUUUCGUGUGAGGGAAAACUUGCUGGUGACUACAUCUCAACCUUCCACUUGGGGUAACCAACGAGGUGCGAGAAGUAUAUACAUCAUCUCUAAUCAGUCGCUCGCUUUGUUGCCGGCCCCAACAACUUGUCCAUAUUGAAGGUUGGCUAGUGUUCCAGCCACUGGCUAUGUUGCCGACGUGAAACUAGGGUGACCAUUUCUGUAGGCCGCUGGCUUUGUUGCCGACCGGCAUGGGAUGAACUGCCGAGAACGCGGCCACAGGCAUGAAAUAUCCACAAGUCCUUUAGUCUUUUCAUAUUUUUCAUGCACAAUGGAUGAGAUGCGACCGAAAUGCGUCCACGCGUUGGGUGCACGACCACCGGAUCCACAAAUCCUGAUAUUGUUUGCUCGACACACCUACUUGAGAGAGACACGUGUUCACCAUGAUUUGUUAGAAUACUCCAUGUGCUUCAUUUAUAUCUUUUGAGCUAAGAAGUUGUGAAAUCACAUAUGCUCUCUUUGUGGUUUUGAUAAUUCAUGACAACAUACAUUAUCCCUUGUACUAAUGGUUCUACCUAGUGUUUCAGAUUCUGUUCAAGAGAUUGCUGGUUGGGAAUGUGAGGAUAAGUCCCAAAGAAGGAGAAGAACAGGAUUGGCAAUGCAUCAAGCUUCAAGACUCUACAUUUUGCAUUUUGUGAGAAAUCACAUUUUAGUCCAUAGGAAAGCCAAUACUAUUAAAAGGGGAUGAGGUAUCUAUGAUGAUCUCGUUGCUCAAGUGCUUAGAGUUAGCCACCAAAACCCUCAUGAAUUCUCCCACAAAAUAUUCUGUCCAAACCCUAAAACCUAAAUUCGGUGCCACCAGUAUUUCCCAUUCAGCCCUACCGAGUUUUACCCUAGGCAGAAUUGAGAUCCAACCCUAAUCUCUCGGUGAAACCAAGUUCUAUUUCGAUCGUGCCGAAAAUCAGUGACCAACUCCCUCACAUCCAUUUGCUAAAAGUCAGAAUCUCUGAUUUUUACAAAUCGGUGCCACCGAGUCUGCAUAACUGCCUAGGCCAGCCAAAAUUGGACUCACCGAGUUUUGUAUAUCGGUCUCACCGAAACGCCGAAAGUUGCCAUAUUUUGCACUAGUCGGUGCAACCUAGUUUUUUUACUUCGGUUCCUCUGCAUUGUGAAAUAAUGUUGUAAUGGUUGGAUUUUGGAGAUGCAUAUAUAUACCCAUCCACUCCCUCUCAUUCGUAGAGAGAGCACUCAAAACAAGCCAACACUUGCCCCAUCCAUCUUUUGAGAUAGAACCACCUACUCAUGGGUUGAGAUCAAGAUAUAUUCCACUCCAACCAUAUGAACCUUGAUUUCUAGCCUCCCCAAGUUGCUUUCCACCCAAACAAUCUCUUCUAACAAGCCAAAUCUAUGAGAGAGUGAUUGAUUGUUGAGGAGACUAUCUUUUGAAGCACGAGAGCAAAGAGUUCAUCAUCCAUACCACAUCUAUUAACUUUUGGAGAGUGGUGUCUCCUAGAUUGGUUAGGUGUCGCUUGGGAGCUUCCCAGUUCGUGCGGAGUUGAAUCAAGAAGUUUGUAAGGGCAAGGAAAUCGCCUACUUCGUGAAGAUCUACCCCGAGUGAGGCUAGUCCUUGAUGAACGUAAGCCAUGGUGGAAUAGACAAGGUUGCUUCUUCGUGCACCCCUUGUGGGUGGAGCCCUCUGUGGACUCGCGCAACCGUUACCCUCCGUGGUUUGAAGUCUCCAUCCACGAGGACAUACCUAUCGGAAUCACGCCAAAAAUCUCUGUGUCAUCUUUGCGUUUGAUCUUCCUAUCUCUACUCCUUACUUUCAUGUCCAUGUCUUUACUUUCCGCUUCCAUACUCGUUGACUUACAUGUGUAGGGUGGACUAGACUUUCUAGAAUCGCUAAAACUUGCCAACCAAUAAAAUUGGGAAACAGCUAGGUUUUUAUUUGCCAAGUAGUCUAUCCACCCCCCUCUAGACGUCCCUUCAUGAUCCAACAAGUUGCUCUAGUGCUUCACUUAUAUAUUUUAGAGGAUGGUGACAUAUAGAUUUGAUAGAAAUAAUUGCACCCUCGUUCUUCACUUAAAAUUCGUUUGAGAGUUUAAUAAACUAUGACGGUAAUUUGCAUGGGUUAUAAGACUAGUCCAAAAAUAAUAGGUAUUCAAGGAGCGCAUAAUCAAAACCUCCCUGUAGCACAUAAAAGAAGGGGCUAUUUUGCUAGCUUAAGUACUUUCACAACCCCUAUUUACUCGUCAAGAAAAAGAAUGACACUUGAAAAUUUUAUAUAUAUUAUAGAAAUCUCAAUGCUAUUACUACUCAAAGAAAAUUACCUAUGCAUGUUGUGGAUGAUCUAUAGAUGAAGUAGAUGGUACAAAGUGAGUUUCGAAGUUACACGUUUGAGAUGGUUAACAUCCUAUUAGAAUGGACUAGAAGAUGCGUAGAACACUGCAUUUAAGACUCAUAGUGUACAAUUCCAGUUCAUGGUAAUGCCUUUUGUACUCGCAAAUGCUCCUUCCACAUUUCAAUGUUUAUGAAUUCUAUUUUUAAUCGCAUGAGAAACUAUGUUUUAAUAUUCAUGGACGACAUCUUAGUUUACACUAAGGACGUACAACAACACGUGUAACAUUUGGAAUUAGUCUUUAAGAUAUUAAGAUAACAUCUGUUAUUUGCCAAGAUGAUCAAAUACACUUUUGCUCAAAAUAAUUUCGAAUACUUGGGUACAUCAUUUCUGAUCAAGGCAUGCAAACGGAUUUUGAUAAGUUUGUAGUGAUGGUAAAGUGGCCAAAACCUCAAAAUAUGAUUGAAUUGAGUGGAUUCUUGGGUAUCAUGGGUACUAUAGAAAGUUUGUCAAGAGAUAUGGUGUUUUUGCCAAACCGUUAACUCAAUUACUUAAAGAAGCAUGCCAUUGUGUGGUCUUCUAAAGAACAAACUGCAUUUAACAAUCUUAAGCUAACCAUGAACACUAUUCGAGUGUUGUUGUUAGCAGAUUUUUAGCAGCAGUUUGUCAUUACAACAAAUGCCCGUGCCAUUUGAAUUGAAGUUAUUCUGACGCAACAUGAACACUAUAUAUAAUUUAAAUUAAAGCACUCGUGUAAAGAAUUAGCCAGUGUCUAUUUAGAGAAGGGUUUUUAGCUAUUAUGCUGUUUGUGGAGAAAUGGAGAGCAUACCUACAAAGACGAUCCUCUAUUAUUCAGAUUGAUCAUGAGAGCUUGUGUGAGUUGGAAAACAAGGUUCUCAACAUGGAGUUGUAGAAUAAGGCCAUGCCAAACUUACUUGGUCUAAAGUUUCAGUUCUAGUAUAUAAAUGGAAGUGAAAACUCUACAGAUGAUGCUUUAUCUAGAGUUGAGAGUUGGCCAUUUGUUGGCUGCUACUACUACUUCUACUAGACAACCUAUCUAGAUCCACAAAGUGAUUAAUUUUUAUGUGGUAGAUAAGACUAAUUAAGCAUUGCUACAGAAAUAGCACUCUAUAACACUAUGGAGGAGUACCCACUAGUGGAGGUAUCAUUAAAUUCCAAUAUAUGAUAAGGGUGGGAGACAAUCAAGAUUUAAAGACUAAACUGAUUUCUGCUUUCCAUGCUAGUGCAGUAGGAGGACACUCUCUUAUUCAUGCCACUUAUUAGAGAAUACAAAUAUUGUUCAUGGUGACUGCAUUGAAACAAGGUAUUAUAGAUUUUUUACAUCGGUAUGGGGUUUGUCAACUAGCCAAGCACGAACAUGGUAAAAUCCCUGGCGUGUUAAAACCCUUUACUUGUACUUGUUGGACCAUGGUAAGAGGUCACUACAGAUUUCCUUGAGGCACCACCCAAGUCUGAUGUAUAUAAAUCAUAUUAGUAGUGGUGGGUUGAUUUACUAAAUAUGAGCAUUUAUUCCUAUAAAACUUUCACUUUCUACUCAAGUAGGGGCCAAAGCAUUCUUGGCCAAAGUGAAAGAGUGAACCAAUGUGUGCAAAUGUCUCGCAGGGUCAUGCACGAAACUCCUUCUAUGUGGAAUUCCUGGCUACCUCAAGCUGAAUUUUUGUAUAAUACUAAUUACCAUACUACUCGAGAGUGCUCUCGUAUGAAAGCAUUGUAUGGUUAGAAGCCUGCCUAUGGGGAAGUUUAUUCUAAACCGACUUCUGAUGAUGUGGAUGUGGAGCAAUGGUUAAGGCAUCAUCAAAACCAUUCAUCUCUCCUCAAGGCUCAUCUGCUCAAAGCUGAAGCAAAAUUGAAAGGAUAUGCAGAUCCACAUAGGUCACCUCAUUCAUUUGCUGUAGGAGCUAUGGUUUAUCUCAAAUUAUAACCAUGUGCUCGAUCCUCAAUGGUGAACAAACCUUGUGCAAAGUUAGCUUACAAGUUUUAUGGCCAGUUUGAAAUUCUAGAGUGUAGUGGACCGACAUCUGACAAGUUAGAUUUGCCACAGGAAGCACUAAUUCAUCCAGUGUUUCAUGUCUCUCAACUCAAAGAAAAAUACACCGAAUCACACUCAUGUGUUCUCCACAUUGUAUGCCCAGUGGAUUAUCUGCUUUCAAUGUGGUGUCCGAAGCAAUUCUUGAUCGAAAUCUGGUUAAUAGGGAUGGCAAACUCUAUUAUGGGUUUUGAUACAGUAAACCGGACUGAGGUAGCGGUCACUUGGGAGAACUAUGAGACACUAAAGAAACAUUAUCAACAAACACCACCACGGGGACAUGCUGGAUCUCAAGGCGACACCAAUGUUAGCACCAGCCAUGCGUGAUGAACCGAACCAGCAGACACGCAAGCAACCACCAAUGGAAGGCACAAAUGUUGUGGCUUAAACAUGAGCCCAACAUGGGUACAUGGGUCCUGUAGUGUGUGUGGGUUGUGAGAGUCAAGUUGUGGGUUAAACAUGAGUCCAACAUCAUAAUGUGCAUGUGUGUGCCUCAUUUUGCUAUCACAACUUGACACACCUGCAUACCAUGUCCUCCUCCUCAUACCACCAUAAUCAGCAUGCUUGAUUACCCGUGGGCAUCCAUCAAACUCAACACACCUACCUACCAACCAUGCAUGAAAAAACAUUUUCAUUCUAGGACCUAACUAGGCAGCGGCGUCGCAUAUUUACGUUACUGUGCGGUGGCCGCUGGAGCGUCGAUUAAUGCAUGCGAUCUACAGAUCCGUUGGCCAGCUGGACCCGAUGUACUCUUUUUUAGGUUUGGGCUCUCGCAAGAGUACAACGCCACACGCAAGUUUUUCUUUGAUUUUGAAAUUUAAAUUGUUUUAUCUACAAAAUCGUUAAUUCAAUCGAUGAUCCGCAUUCAUCAUUGACUUUUUCGGGACGAGUUCUUAGAAACUAGAUCCCAUAUCGACAUGUUCCAUCAAGUAUUUUUUUCCGUUCAUACUUGCCACAUUUUUUGACCCAGUUGCCAUAUUAUUAACCACUUGCCUGAAAAGAAUAACUUGAUUGACACUUUUUAAUGUUAUUUCGUACAAAGCCUUGUAGCACUUUUUCAUUAUAUAUGAUAUAAAAGCAUGUCAUAGGUUGUGUUUGCCAAUUUAAAAAUAUGCCAACUUGUCAUAUUUACAUACAACUUUGCAAGAAAACUAUUUUGUGUGCUUGUUAGUUUAACUAUGCCGAGUUGUCAUAUUUAUAAACGAUGAACAAAAAAGAUUUUUUAUGGUCACUGGUUUUAAAUAUGUUGAGUUGGCAUAUUUUUGCGCGUAAUCGCCUAAAAAAUGUUUGUAUUUGUCAGUUUGAUUAUGUCGAGAUGUCAUAUUUAUACGUGAUUUCCAAAAAUAUGGUAAUUAAGUUAUUUUUUAUCAGAUAAGUAAGUACUUACUAAUAUAACAAGUAAGUGCAACAAAUGUGGUGAGUAUGAGCAAAAGAAAAGUUGUCGAAACAUGUCGACAUGGGGUCUAGUUUUAAAGAUUUCGUCGAAACAAAGUCAACAAUGAAAACGGAUCAUCGAUUGAAUUAACGGUUCACGAGAUAAAAGUUUUUGAAUUUUGGUCAUAAAGACAGAAUUCAGCAUGAGCUCGCCGCGCGGGAGCUUUCAUGUGUGCACGCUUCUCUUUAAAUUUUCCCUUCAUUCUAUUAUUCAACUCUAUCUAAUAAAUAUUUUACAACUAUAUAUAAUCAAAUACAAUAAGUUCUGUAAAUUUUUAGUUUUGUUCAUGUUUUAUUAGUCUAAAUAUUUAUAUUUCACAUCAUUAAAUUACAUUAAAAUAUAUACAACUGAUUUCCGUUGCAACGCGUGAGGUGUCGUUAGUUACAUAAACACUUUGUAUUUUUUUCGGCUGUAACGGGUUGACAUUCGCGCGUAAUAUAAUUCAGUACUAUAUUCAGCUGAGGAUUCUCUCCCCACUUUGAAAAAGAACUCUGCAUAAUUUCCGUAGAUAACAAAAGGAACACAGCAUAAAUUCCCAUGGAUCACUCCACAUCGGCACAACAAGAUGACAUCUCAUGCUUGCAGUACAACUAGCCAACUCAUGACACACCACCAUGCAGCUGAUAUAACGACAUCUUCAACGUUAACUCAUAAAUCUUUUUUUUUAUCAGUUUGCGGAUAAAGAAACUGGUCCGCACAUACGGAUACGAGAGGUCGACAUCCAAGGCUGCCUGCAUAUAUGUUAACAAUAUUUUAAAUCAACCGAACAAAAUUCAUGUAAAUACAGUCGGAUUUCAUAUAAACCCGUCCGCAUUUCAUUUGAACAUGUCGGAUUUCCUUUAAACAUGACGGAUUUCAUAUAGUCAUGACGGAUUUCAACAUUACAUCAACUAAGUGGUGUUCGUCCUGCUGUAGAGGUAUAAUUGAUAGGCCUAAUUUAUGAUCGAUGGCGCCCACUACCCGUGUCCGGCCCUGAGCUCCAAUAACUGAAACUUUGUCCUCUCCAGCUCCGCCUCCGUAAUCUCUUCGAAGCCUCAGGAAGUGAAGCUGUCCGCCACCACUCCGCCGCCAAGCGGCUAAUUGGCCGACGAUGUUGAGGUCGCCAAGCUUGGCUGCAACGGGAGGGAAGGAGCGAUGGCCUUCUUGGGACCUGAGCAUCAGCGAGCUACCAUGCUCUACUCUUCCUCAUUGUCAGCGAAAUCCUCUGCCUCCUUGUCGGCAUUGCCGAACACCUCGCCCGCCGCUUCGUCGAACUCCUUACACGCGGCCACCAGUUCUGCCUAACGCUGGCGGUAUCGCCAGCGGUCGAGGCGGAUCUAGCAGGCAGAGCGGUAGGACUCGAGCAGCACCACCUACUUCACUAGGUCUGCCUUUGACGCGAUCACCCUGUUGGCGGCGAGCUGCUCGUUCGCCUACUGGUGCUCAUGGAUGAGGAGGUGGUUGUAGGCGACGUUGGCCCGCGCCUCCCGGAACGGAUCUUCCUACUCCUCCCGUACCUUGUUCAUAUAAUAGGCACGUGCCUCGCCGACGGACAUGGUGCAAUGCACCAGUGAGGGUGGGGCACGAGAGGAGAAGGAUGGUGCAGACGAGUGUGGGGCGGAGGAGGAGGAGGAUGGCGCUGGCUCGUCGGCGGUCGCGUCUUUCAUUGCUUCAUCAUCGUCCUCCGGUUGCGUGCCGACAAACCAACCGAAAGAAAUGCUGGCCAUCUCCGUCUUUUGGUCAGUCAUCCGCUCGUCCAUAGAGAUUUGGACCGCAAGGAAGCCAUGAUGGGAGUUGGGGGGGGGAGGAGAAAGGAUCGGAGGCAGAUGGCUGCGGCUAUAGCGAGGGCAACAAAUUUUUUUUAUAGCAAUAGAGGACAGCCGAGCGACGAACGAGUGGCGUCCAAGUAGACGCCUUGUCAACCGCAUAACAUUACUGGGGCGACGCAUGAACGGACGGGCGACCGUCGUGUCGUUUGAACGCGGAACAGUCGUAUGCAUCAAGAAUAGGCACGAGAGGCUCUUUAUCGGCAGCAUGCCGCUAUAAUGCGGACGAGAGUGAGGGAUCGCGUUCGCUCUGACCGGGCAUUAAUGCGGCACUGACGCUCUAUGCGGCGCAGACUGAUUCAAGUGUGAUGCAUGUGCAGAUGAGGAAAGAAAUUUUGGUGGACUACGGUGCUUAGAAGCGGGCUUGGGUACUGUUUGAACGUCCAAGAAACCCUAUUUUUGUCUUUGAUUCAUGUGAAAAAUAUAUCUAGACUGUCGUUCGAAUCAAUACAUAACCGCAUCGACUGACUUCCGCGGUAUAAAAAGCCGAUCUAAAAGUAUGAGCUUUAAGAGCAAAUACAAUAGAACUGAGUCAACUGGUUAUAAAAAAUAAAAUAGUAUAUUUUUGUUUAGUUGGAAAAAAGAAAAAAGGAGAGAAAAGGUAAGCGGACUCUUAGUUAAGAGUCAAUUGCAGCACGUGUUUCUAGGCAUUUUAUGAAAGUGAAAGAUGAGUCAUAUAAUAAAAAAUAAUAUACUUUUUAAACCAAUUAUUAUAUAUAUUAGCUAUAAAAAGGUAAACGUUUAUACACGGGGCGUCGGCCGAACCGUUUUGGCCAGACCCACCGCGUUCGUCCGAUCUGGGUGGAUCGCGCGCGUCCCCUCCCCCCGCGCAGGUCGCCGUCGCCCCUCCCCCCGCGCAGGCACCGCCGUCGUGUGCUUCCCCUCUGCGCAAGUCGUCGUCGCCCCUCCCCGCGCGCAGGCGCCGCCGUCGCGUGCUUCUCCUAUGUGCAUGUUGCCGUCGCCCCCUCCCCCGCAGGCACCGCCGCACGCCCUCGUACCCUUCGCUGGCGCUGCUGCAAAACCACCAUCGCCGGUGCUCGGGCCGAGCCACAGGGGAGAUGACAUGGCUGCCUCCUGCCAUGGACUGAUCUGUGUGUACACAUGUAUUAAAAAAAAGCUACAAGCGGUGUACAAAAAGCUUCAAACGGCAUAAAAAAAGCUUCAACCGUUGAUAAAAAAAAGUUACAACCACGUCCAUGAGAGUUGCAACCAAACUUCGCCGGAGUUUUGUAGGCGGAGUUGCAACCAUGAUGAAAAAAUGCUGCAACCAUUAUACAAAUUUGAUACAUCAGUCAUUCUUUUUUGUUGCAACCGUAUUUUUUUUUUGCUACAACCGUUGACAUGAGCAAGUUCCAACCAUGAUGGGAAAUGCUGCAAUCAUUAUACAAAUUUGCUACAUCAGUCAUUUUUUGUUGUUGCAACCGUAUUGUAUUUUUGCUACAACCGUUGACAUGGACGAGUUGCAACCAUGAUGGAAAAUGCUGCAACCAUUGUACAUUUUUGCUACAUUUAUUGUUCUAUUUUGUUGCAACCGUAUUGUUGUUUACAAGGGGCUGCAACCAUGAGCGCACGCUGCUACAUCCACGGAGGUUAGAAACGCAUAGAAAGGCGACAUAGGUGAAGGCGGCGAGGGCGGCGACCGACGGUGGAGGGCGGCCAGCGGUGAGGAGGUGAGGCGAGGCGGUCGGCGCGUGCUGGGGCAUUCGGCGCGGGCUAGGCGCGUGCGGGGAUGGCGGCGCGUGCGAGGAUGACGGGCGGUGGGGGCUCGCGCGACCAGAUCUGACGACAGGAGCCCUGAUCUGAUGGCUGCUGCGCGACCGGUGCGAGCCCCGGACCGACGCGCCGGCGUCUAGCACUGUCCAUAAAAAAAAGUAUACGUGACAUGACAAUGUGUUAUAGCAGCAACUGACUAUGCGAGUAACCAUACUCUAAACCGCGGGUGCCGCAUGGACCACGGUUUUCAUAAGACACAUGCCAUUUUCCGGCGACGUACGGCAGUCCCCAUGCCCUUCCGAUCCAGAGAACCGGGGCAUGCUCUACUACGGACGGACAGCGACCGCACUCCCGCUCAUCGCGCGCCGCGCGUGGCAUCCGAUCCACGACGAUGCCGCCACCACCACCACCACCGGUGCCUUCGGUUGGGUCGGGGCGGCGUACGUGGAGGCCCCCGCCGCCGUCGGUAGAAGUUUGGUCCAGACCCCGCCGUUAACCAGCAUGGGGCCCUGCACGGAUGUCGGCUACCCGCCUUUUCGCCUCCUACCCCCUUCGUGCUCUAUCCACUGCCGCCGAGAAUCACGAGCCGUCCCCGUGGCACGGGCGGCGCUCGUGUUUCGGAUGACCGGGCUCGUUGGUUUCCGAAAAAUGCCGUAGGAUUCCUUCACUGCCAGCGAAGGCAACCGAGUACCUGGACUCCUUGAAAGAUUCUAGAAGCUGCAAGUUCUCAAGGCCCCUACCAACUUGAACCUUUACGGGUUACGACAACCAAGUGGCACAGUAUAAGUAUCUAAAGCAGGAUCCGUCGCGCAUGCAUGAACUGCAUGCAACUGGCUAGCUAGGUAGCUGGCCAACUGGACUAGUUGACGGCAGAGCUGAAUUGCAGUCUACGGACGUCGAGCAAGGAGUGAAAUGAGCCGUCGGGAAUUCAAAACUGGGAAGAACCGAAUCGUGUUGAUCGGUAUGCGACGGUGACGGGUGAUUGCUGGUUUAACCGAUGGCUCGUGUCCAUCGCUGUUUGGCCAACUUUGGCCAAGGGUUUGCUUUAUUCUCUGAUGGUUGAUGGCCACUUGAGGAGUGGAGUCAUAUUACGCGUUGCUCGUGUCUGGCUUUUACCAUGUCUUUUUCUUUUUAAUAACAAAAGGUUGGCUUUUACCAUGUCAAUCAAAUACAGAAAAAGGAAAAGGCGGGAAAUAGCUGGUUGUCGUUGCUGCAUGUGCUUGUCCCGUCUUCCAGCUAUCGCUGGUUGAGUAGGACUAUUCCAGUGCGCAGGAACCUUUUCCUCUGUUUUUUUCUAGACUGAAUUUCUUUGCGAUUUUAUCAUUCACGUCCUUGCAAAAACACCCUUAAAAUUUGAAUAUACAUCCAGAUGCCUAGGUCAGUGAAGUGUUCUCCCUCCUGCAUCAGCCAGCGAUGCCUGUGACAAAUUGGUCAAAACAUAGAAGCUCGUAGAAGCAGGAGACGGAAAGUUGUCGACGCAGACCAAAUGACAUUGGUGGCCAUGAUCUAUGUAGCAAAUCAUCACAUGAGGGGAGAAAACAUAGUAGAGGGCAAUGUACAAUGCCCCCGUUUCGAACACAUAAAGUCUGAACACAAAUUUCACACACUCUCCAAUGAGGUCGAGGCUGGGCAUUUUUACUACUUGGAAUGGUAUUUUGUUCUAGGACUGAAAAGUAUUUCCAAAUACGUAUUCUUUGUCCAUGCAAUUCACAUCAGUUCACUCUCGAAAAACAUGGAUUCUUACAAAUAUUUAUGGGCCAUGUGCACACGAGGAAAAAUUGGAAUUCCUUGACUUGUUUCAUAACAUUGAGAUCCCAUGGCUAAUAUUGGGAGCCUUCAAUGAUAUUAUGCACCUUGACAAGAGGAAUAAAGAAGAAUAAAUUUUUGAGGAGAUAUUUUACAAUUUAAUGAGCCUAUCAACAAUCUUGGUUUCGUCAAAAUCCUCCUUAAGGGCAGGAAUUACACCUGGACCAAUAUGCAAAUAGAACCUCUUCUUCAAAAAUUGAAUUUGAUUUCUCUUCAUAAGCUUGGACCAUCACAUAUCCCAAGACUCAAGUUACUGCAUUAUCAAAGCCCAUCUCAGAUCACACCCAUUGUCUUGCCAAAAUUGGAAUAAGGGUUCCAAAAUCCAAGCUUUCCAGAUUUGAAAAUUUCUCGUUGGAAUAUAGUGAAUUUAAGGAGAUUCUUAAAAACAUUUUGUCUCAAGAUGUGCAAGAGCAGGAAAAUGCAAAAAUAAUAACAUCAAAGUUCAAAAGGUUGACAAAAGGCUUAAUGAUUUGCUCUAAAGGUUUAUGAAACUUGUGUGUCACUACAAAAGCAUGUAAUGCGUUUAUUCUACUAUUUGAUCUUAUGAAUCAAUUUAGACACUUGAAAAAUGAGGAAUGGAAUGGAGAUGCAUAGUAAGUGAGCACAAGUUAGGCGGAUGAAAACACGAAGUUCUUUAAAGCAAAAGCAACGAUCAAGUAUAGAAAGAAUCAUAUUAACUCUCUAGUUGAUGAGAUUGUUCAAUAAGUAACAUAUCAUGAUGUCAAAGGUGUUGUUUUGUGCAGAGCUUUCAACCAAAGAUUAAGUAACUCAACCCCAUUUUUUAGUCCUUCUCCCUUACUGGUCUAUAGGAAAACAUCAUAAUUUAGCAAAUGAGGAGAAACCUUUCACAAAAGAAGAGACACAUGAUGCAGUUGACUGAUGUCUACUAUGCAACUUUAUUCUUGUAGACACCGUUGGGCCUCCAAGUGCAGAGUGUUGUAGGACGGCAACAAAUUUUCCUCAAGUGGAUGACCUAAGAUUUAUUAAUCCAUGGGAGGUAUAGGAUGAAGAUGGUCACUCUCAAGCAACCCUGUAAUCAAAUACAAGAAACCACUUGUGUCCCCAACACACCCAAUACAAUGGCAAAUUGUAUAGGUGCACUAGUUUCGCAAAGAGUUGGUGAUGCAAGUGUAGUAUGGAUAGUAGAUAUAGGUUUUUAUAAUCUGAAAAUAUAAAAACAUCAAGGUAGCAAAUGGAAAACAGUGCACAAAAUGUUGUAUAAAUGCUUGGAAAUAAGGUCUAGGGUUCAUAUUCUCACUAGCACGAUCUAUCAACAAUGCUAACACAGUAGGAUCAUAUGAUCAUUCUUCAAUGUGCAAGAAAGGAUCACUCCAAAGUUUAUAUCUUGCAGAGAACAUGAGAUGAAUUUUUGUAGGUAGUAGAACCACCUCAAAGUUACCUUUUUUGAUCAGUCUAUUGAGCUAUUCCUAUAGGUGACACAAACAACUCUAGAGUUCAUACUAAAAUAACACGAAUGAUACAUAUCAAUAAUUCCUAGUGUCAUCAAGACACUCCAAUGUCAUCACGAGUAUCUGUGGGUUAAUUAUUCAACAUGCAUCAAACAAUUUCAGACUUAUUAUAUUCAAUCCAACACAAGUAACUUCAUAGGGUACCCUAAGAUUUAUAUCAGAGAGAGUAGGACAAGAAUGUGUAACAUAUCAUGAUGUCAAAGGUGUUGUUUUGUGCAGAGCUGUCAACCAAUGAGUAAGUAACUCAAUCCCAUUUUUUAUUCCUUCUCCCUUACUGGUUUAUAGCAAGACAUGAUAAUUUAGCAGAUCAGGAGAAACCUUUCACAAAAGAAGAGACACAUGAUGUGGUUGACUAAUGUCUACUAUGCAACUUUAUUCUUGUCGACACCGUUGGGCCUCCAAGUGCAGAGUGUUGCAGGACGGCAACAAAUUUCCCUCAAGUGGAUGACCUAAGGUUUAUUAAUCCAUGGGAGGUAUAGGAUGAAGAUGGUCUCUCUCAAGCAACCCUGAAUCAAAUACAAGAAACCACUUGUGUUCCCAACACAUCCAAUCCAAUAGUUCAGCAAAGAGAUGGUGAUGCAAGUGUAGUAUGGAUAGUAGAUAUAGGUUUUUGUAAUAUAAAAAUAUAAAAACAUCAAGGUAGCAUAUGAUCAUACUCUCACUAGUACAAUGAGCAAAAGUUGUAUAAAUUCUUGGAAAUGAGGCCUAGGGUUCAUACUCUCACUAGUACAAUCUCUCAACAAUGCUAACACAGUAGGAUCAUAUGAUCAUUCUUCAACGUACAAAAAAGGAUCACUCCAAAGUUUAUAUCUUGAGGAGAACAUGAGAUGAAUUUGUUGUAGGUAGUAGAAUCACCUCAAAGUUACCAUUUCCGAUCAGUCGGUUGAGUUAUUCCUAUAGGUGACACAAACAACUCUAGAGUUUGUACUAAAAUAACACCAAUGAUACAUAUCAAUAAAUCCUAGUGUCAUCAAGACACUCCAAUGUCACCACGAGUAUCCUUAUGUUAAUUAUUCAACAUGCGUCAAAAAAUUUCAGAUUUAUCAUAUUCAAUCCAACACAAAUAACUUCAUAGAGUACCCGAGAUUUCUAUCGGAGAAAGUAGGACAAGAAUGUGUAUCAACCCCUAUGCAUAUAUUAAUGAGGCUAUCAACAAUCUUGGUCUUGUCUAAAUCCUCCUUAAGGGCAGGAAUUGCACCUGGACCAAUAUGCAAAUAGAACCUCUUCUUUAAAAGUUGAAUUGGAUUUCUCUUCAUAGGCUUGGACCAUCGCAUUUCCCAAGACUCAAGUUACUGCAUUAUCAAAGCCCAUCUGAGAUCACACCCAUUGUGUAGCCAAGAUUGGAAUAAGCGUUCCAAAAUCCAAGCUUUCCAGAUUUGAAAACUUCUUGUUGGAACAUAGUGAAUUUAAGGAGAUUUUUAAAAACAUUUGGUCUCAAGAUGUGCAAGAGCAGGAAAAUGCAAAAAUAAUAACAUCAAAGUUCAAAAGGUUGACAAAAGGCUUAAAGAUUUGGUCUAAAAGUUUAUUAAACUUGUUAGUCACUACCAAAGCAUGUAAUGCGUUUAUUCUAUUAUUUGAUCUUAUGAAAGAAUUUAGAUACUUGAAAAAUGAGGAAUGGAAUGGAGACGCGUAGUAAGUAGGCAUAAGUUAGGCGGAUGAAAACACGAAGUUCUUUCAAGCAAAAGCAAUGAUCAAGUAUAGAAAUAAUCACAUUAACUCUCUAAUUUAUGAGAUUGGGCAAUAAGUAACAUAUCAUGAUGUCAACGUUGUUGUUUUGUGCACAGCUUUUAACCAAAGAGUAAGUAACUCAACCCCAUUUUUGAGUCCUUCUCCCUUACUGGUCUAUAGCAAGACAUGAGAAUUUAGCAGAUCUCGCGAAACCUUUCACAAAAGAAGAGACAGAUGAUGCGGUUGAGUGAUGUCUACUAUGCAACUUUGUUCUUGUAGACGUUGUUGGGCCUCCAAGUGCAGAGUGUUGUAGGCCGACAACAAAUUUCCCUCAAGUGGAUGACCUAAGGUUUAUUAAUCCAUGGGAGGUAUAGGAUGAAGAUGGUCUCUCUCAAGCUACCCCGUAAUCAAAUACAAGAAACCACUUGUGUCCCCCACACACCCAAUACAAUGGCAAAUUGUAUAGGUGCACUAGUUCGGCAAAGAGAUGGUGAUGCAAGUGUAGUAUGGAUAGUAGAUAUAGGUUUUUGUAAUCUGAAAAUAUAAAAACAACAAGGUAGCAAGUGGCAAAGAGUGAGCAAAACAUUGUAUAAUUGCUUGGAAAUAAGGCCUAGGGUUCAUACUCUCACUAGUACAAUCUCUCAACAAUGCUAACACGGUAGGAUCAUAUGAUCAUUCCUCAACGUGCAAGAAAGGAUCACUCUAAGGUUUAUAUCUUGCAGAGAACAUGAGAUGAAAUUGUUGUAGGUAGUAGAACCACCUCAAAGUUACCCUUUCCGAUCAAUCUAUCGAGCUAUUCCUAUAGGUGACACAAACAACUCUAGAGUUCAUACUAAAAUAACACCAAUGAUACAUAUCAAUCAACCCUAGUGUCACCAAGACACUCCAAUGUAACCACGAGUAUCCGUGGGUUAAUUGUUCGACAUGCAUCAAACAAUUUCAGAUCUAUCAUAUUCAAUCCAACACAAAUAAAUUCAUAGAGUACCCCAAGAUCUAUAUCGGAGAAAGUAGGGCAAGAAUGGGUAUCAACCCCUAUGCAUAUAUUACCCCAUGGCUGUCACAUGAAUCCACAAGUUGAGUACCAAGACAUACAUCAAGUGAUAUCAAAUUCAAUAUUCAAUCCGACAUAACAAAAUCGUAAAGGGAAAGAAUCAAUUCAUCACAACAAGAUAGCAAGGGAAGAACACCAUAUUAUCGAACUAUAUUAACAUGGCCCCACGAUAUAUCAAGAUCAUGCCAUCUCAAGACCAUGAGAGAGAGAGAGAGAGAGAUCAAACUCAUAGCUACUUGUACAUACCCUUAGCCCCGAGGGUGUACUACUCCCUCCUUGCCAUGGCCACCGCCAGAAUGAUGAAGAUGGCCACCGGUGAUGAUUUCCCCCUCCGACAGGGUACUGGAAAUGCUUCAAAUGGGUUUUCUUUGAUACACAGAGUUGCGGAGGUGGAGCAGAAGUUCUAGGUUAAAUUUCUGGGGUGUGUGGAUUUAUAGGAAUUUUCAGCGUUGGAAUCACCUCAUCCGGAGCCACGUGGGCCCCACAAGCUAGGAGGGCACAUCUAGGGGGUGGGCGUGCCCUGUUGGCUUAUGGCCCACAGGUGGACCGCCUCUGGUGGUUCUUCACUCUGGUAUUUCUCAUAUUAUCCAGAAAAAAUGAUCAAAAAGUUGGGUGAUCCCGAGAACUUUUAUAUUUUGCACAAAAAAGCAACACCACGGUAAUUCUGCUGAAAACAGCGUCACUCCGGGUUAGUUGUAAUAAAAUCAUAGAAAGUGCAUCUUAUCUAGUCAAACAAUUACUCUUGUCUAUGUUUGUUCCACAAGUUAAACCUAAGAACACUAGUAACAAAGGCUAGAAAGUUUCAUCAUCUAGUAACAACAAUGCUAAAGUUAGAUCAAAUGAUGAUGUUGCUAGUAGCUCUCUUGAUUCCACUAAUGAUUCUCUUAGCCAAGUUACACUUGAGCAAGAGAACGAUUUAUUGAAAGGGAUUAUUGAGAUAGGUGUCUUCAAGAGUCUUGCCGGAAGUAAGCAAUUUGAGGAAAUUGUGCGCAAGCAAGGAGGACAUCGGAAGAAGCAAGGUGUUGGCUACUGCAAUGCCAACGGAGUUGAAUGGAAGAAGGUCCAUAUCCCAUCCCGAAGUUUGUUCCUUGAGAGGAGAAGUAUGGUCCUACUCUCCCCAAGGGAACAAGCUCUCAAGAUGAACUUCCUCCAAAAGAUAACAAAGUCAAAGGCAAGCUUCAAGAGGAGAUUGACUCAUUUGAGGAAGAAUCCCAAGCCAAGGUCGAGUGGAUUCCCAUGGACACUACUAGAUCUACUUGAUCUAGUACUACCACAACUCCAAGGAUCCCCAUCAAGUUCAUGUGGAUCCCCAAGAGGAAGAACUAGAAAGUUCUUGACGGGUGACUCCACAAUGAAAUUCACUCUUAUUCAUUUUGGCAAGAACUACAUGCAAACAACUCCAACCAUAAGCAUUUGUUCAAGGAGUCACACAUUCCCUCAAAGGUAAGCAAGGGACAAGGUAAUUAAUGUAUCUUUGGACAUCAUCUCACAUGUAUUUCAUUCCAUGUCCAUAGAUAUCCUUGCAUACGUUCCUUGUGCUUUGGGACUAACCCAUGUAGGUGAAAAGAGUAAGAAACAACAAGGAUUGCUCCCAACACAAGAUGAUCUUCAUCAACAAUGAGCAUCCACCACUUCUAAACCUACUUGAAGUCUUCUACGACAAAACACAAGGUUAGUUUACCCCUCUUAGGGGGGAUGUCACAUCAAGGGGGAGCUUCACUCUAAAACUUCAGUAUAAGCAUCUCCUAAAGAUGUGAACACAUUAAUGCUUUAUGUAAAAGUGGUAACCCCACUUAUGCUGAAACGAUGAGUAUGUGAUACGUUUCAAACGUAUCUAUAAUUUUUUAUUGUUCCAUGGUAUUAUAUUAUAUGUUUUGGAUGUUUCAUAUGCAUUAAUAUCUUGUUUUAUAUUAUUUUUGGGACUAACCUAUUAAUCUAGAACCUACUGCCAGUUUCUGUUUUUUCACGUUUUUUAGUACCGCAGAUAAGGCAUAUUAAACGGAGCCCAAACGGAACAAAAUCUCUGGAAAGAUUGUUCUUGGACCAUAAGACACGCAGGAGACAUGGAGUAGGGGAUAGGACAACAGCUGGGAGGCUACAAGCCUGCAGGGCGCCCCCCCGGGGGGGGGGGGUCGCCCCUAGCUUGUGGCCCUCCUACAGGUCUCCUAACCCUAUUCUUUGGCCUAUAAAUUCCCAAAUAUUACCGCAUCGCCAAAAAUAUCCACGAAAAUAAAUCUGAAGGGAUUGCCAACCCCUUUAUAGCGUUGGGUGCAAGUGUUUGAUUGUUUGUGUAGGUACUACUAUUGGGGCCUUGCUUGUUCCUCCUACUGGAUUGAUACCUUGGUUCUCAACAAACUGAGAGAAAUACUUAUCUACUUCAUUGCAUCACCCUUUCCUCUUUAAGGGAAAACCAACACAAGCUCAAGAGGUAGCAGUAUGACCUAUGAUCAUGUAUUCUUACUUGGCUCCUGAUACGUCUCCAACGUAUCUAUAACUUUUGAUGGUUCCAUGCUAUUAUCUUGUCAACUUUGGAUGUUUUGUAUGCAUUUUAUAUCUUUUUUGGGACUAACCUAUUAACUGAGUGCCAAGUGUCAGUUCCUGUUUUUUCCGUGUUUUUGACCCUUUUCAGAGAAGAAUAUUAAACGGAGUCCAAAUGGAAUAAAAUCUUCGGAAUGAUUUUUCCAUAACAGAAGAUACGCAGGGAACUUGAGAACCAAGGCAAAGGAUCCCGGGGGAGGCCACAAGGCCCCUAGUCGCGGCCUGGGGGGCACCUACCAGGCUUGUGCCCCCCCCCGUGGCUCCUUUGCCCUACUUCUUCCACCUAUAAAUUCCCUAGAAAUCUGAAACCACGGGAGAGAGCCACGAAAAUACUUUUCCGCCGCCGCAAGCUUCUGUCUCCGCAAGAUCCCAUCUGGGGCACGUUCUGGUGCCCUGCCAGAGGGGGGAUUCGGACACGGAGGGCUUCUUCAUCAACACCAUUGCCUCUCCGAUGAUGCGUGAGUAGUUCACCACAGACUUUCGGGUCCAUAGCUAGUAGCUAGAUGGCUUCUUCUCUCUCUUGGAUCUUCAAUACAAAGUUCUCCAUGAUCUUCAUGGAGGUCUAUCCGAUGUAAUCUGCUUUUGCGUGUGUUUGUCGAGAUCCAAUGAAUUGUGGAUUUAUGAUGAGAUUAUCUAUGAUUAUUAUUUGAGUCUCCUCUGAUCUCUUAUAUGCAUGAUUUCGUAUCCUUGUAAUUCUCUUCGAGUUGUGGGUUUCGUAUGGCCAACUUGAUCUAUAAUUCUUGCAAUGGGAGAAGUGCUUGGUUUUGGGUUCAUACCGUGCGGUGUCCUCACCCAGUGACAGAAGGGGUAGCGAGGCACGCAUCGUGUUGUUUCCAUCAAGGGUAAAAAGAUGGGGUUUAUAUCUAUUGCAUGGAUUUAUCCCUCUACAUCAUGUCAUCUUGCUUAAGGCUUUACUCUAUUUGUUAUGAACUCAAUACACUAGAUGCAGGCUGGAUAGCGGUCGAUGUGUGGAGUAAUAGUAGUAGAUGCAAACAGUAUCGGUCUAUUUGUCUCGGACGUGAUGCCUAUAUGUAUGAUCAUUGCCUUAGAUAUCAUCACGACUUUGCGCGAUUCUAUCAAUUGCUCGAUAGUAAUUCGUUCACCCACCGUAAUAUUUGCUAUCAUGAGAGAAGCCUGUAGUGAACACUAUGGCCCCCGGGUCUACCUCACAUCAUAUUAUCAGCUCUACACUUUCACUUUGUUGCACUUUCCGCCUUCAGAUCUCACCUUGCAAUCAACCGUGAAGGGAUUGACAACCCCUUUAUAGCGUUGGGUGCAAGUUUGUUUGUUUUUGCGCAGGUACUUUGGAGACUUGCCUUGAUACUCCUACUGGAUUGAUACCUUGGUUCUCAAACUGAGGGAAAUACUUACUGCUACUGUGCUGCAUCACCCUUUCCUCUUCAAAGGAAAAAACCAACGCAAGCUCAAGAGGUAGGAGAUCCUAAGUCAAUAUACUCAUAUAUAGAUGACUUAAUCAUCGCCAAAGUGCUUGAUAGAUGCUAGAGUGUUUCUGCACGUUCACCAAGUUUUAUUUGACAUUUUAUUGAGUGACCAUGUUGGUAUGCAUACUUUACUCAUUCAAGGAUAUCCAAUGGUUGUUAUUUGGCUUUCUAUUUUAUUUGGCCAAUUGGAUAUACAAGAAUGCCUAAGUACCUCCCUCUAUCUAUCUAUGUUUUCUCGUCUCAAAUUCUAUUCAUGCUACAUCACAAGAUUUGAGCAAGAACUUUAGGGACACUCCGUGUGAGGAGCACUCGGAGACCCAUCUCAACAAGGUUUAAAUUCCAAAACAUCCCAAAGUGCAUCAAAGUGUGAUGAACCUCAAAAUCUCAAUCCCACCGAAGCCUAGGUUUGAUCAGGUUUUCUUAUCUCGGUACCAUCGAGUUGUCAUUUUUGGCCUCGCCGAGUUUCACUGUUUGCUGAAAGUUAUGGAACAUGGUGGCACCAAAAAACCCAUCUCGUGUCACCCACAACUAGGAGGUAUAUAUAUUCCACGGACCCGACGGUUGGAAAAGUUCUUCAAACAUCGCCUCCCGCACCUCCUCGCUGCCGCUCCCAAAUCCUCUGGACAUCGCCUUGAAUCUCCCAUGUGCCCUCGCCACCGGAGUCUUCGCCGUUGAUGAGAAUAUUCACCACCGUCAUUGCCAUAGCGGAGCCGUCACCGAGCUAGGGUAUGGAUCCGACCCUUUUGUGCUCCUAAUUCUAAUUCUUGCGUAAAUGGGCUUUGAUGAAAUUUGUCCACUUCUGUAAUCAUCCCAACAAGAAGAAAAACCUCGUAGAUUAGAGAACAAUGGAAAUCUGAGGGUUAACCAUCCGCGAGAUUGAAUCUUGGUGUCACCAUUCAGAAAAGUCAGUCUUACAGAUUUUGUUUUAGGGUUACUGAGAAUGUUCUUGGUGAAACCGAGUUCUCCUUUCAAGUGAAACUGAAAAGGGUGCCAAGUUUCUGUUAAUGAGAACGUCAGUAUCGGUGGCUCGUUUGACUCGGUGGAACUGAAAUCCCUUUUUGCCGAAUGUUAAACCUAACUUUCCAGAGUUCAUUUUUUUCAAAACUUCUGAAUUUUGUGAUGCUCAUACAUUCCAGCUCUUAUAUAUCAUUUCACAGGGUCUGCUUGUGUGCUUGUCUGCUUAGCUGUUUGACAGAAUGUCAGGAUCAUAGGAUAGUCAGAACAACUUUAGUGAGCCCAUUGCCGACAUGGACUCACGCACUAGUCCAGAGAGGACUCCUUGUGACCCGGGAACACCUAGCUCCCAUGGCUUGCCCAAGGUAGCUACCAGGUCUAGGAGCAAGUUAAAUUCAGAUGAAGAAGAUGUUGACUUUAUCCCAGAGGAAACUGUUCCCCAGAAGCAGAAAGACAAGACCACAGUCAAGAAGACUGUGAGGAAAGAGUAUGCCAGACGUGCUGAUAUGAAAGCUCCAGAGGCUAGGGUUGCUAAGCAGCUAGGUCAGAAAAGAGUGAGAAAGAGAGUUGUGCAUGUUGUUGGAAGGCCAACUUCUAUGUAUGAAGACCGAACAUAAGCUGCUGAAGAUGAGGGGAAGAUAUUCCAGCUGAGGUCCCUCCUUCGAAGAAGAAGUUUAUGGCUGAUGCUAUGCCAAAGAAGCCUUCAACUCUAAACAAACCUUUGGCUCCUAAGAAGCAUGUAGGUCCCAAGAGGACUACCAAGGACAUUCUUGUAGCAGAGAAGAACAAAGGCUCUACAUCGAGAGAAUUUGCUGCAGAAGAAGAAGAGGAUGCACCUGUGCUAAUGAAGUUGAGAUCUCAUAUGUCAUUGCAGAAUGCUGCUCAUCCAGUUGUUGAGGAUAUGAAGAAGAUAAGGGAACAAGGACUGAGAAAGUGGAGGUUAGAUGAUCCUUAUGCUGUCAUAAGGAGAACUGAUGUUGAUCCUCUCUUUGACCAAAAGGAGCAACAAGAUUUUUAUGAGACUAUGUUGCUUGACAAGAGUCUUGCUGUUAGUGACAUGAGAUAGGUUGAUUGGGAAUAUAUCAAGGCCAAUGAACAUUAUUUUUUCCCAUGUGAGAGAAAACUUCAGGGUACUUGACAUAGAAGAUUUUGUUGGCAGAGAGAUGACUGCUUGUAACGAUUAGAUGAUCAUGCAAUUCUAUUCAAGCACUCAUUUUUAUUCUGAUGGAAGAAUUGUAUGGAUGGCAGAAGGUUAUGGGUAUGAGGCCACAAUUGAUGAGUGGGCCACUAUCAUUGGUGCCCCAAAGGCACAAGAGAGAUACUUGGAUGUGUAUUCGGAACGAAAGAUGAAUCACAACUCCAUGUCAAACAUGUAUAACCCAGUGCCCCAUAAGUAUGUACAAACACACAAGUUUGGCUCUGUCUACUUUUUGCAAGCAGGAAUACCUACUAUGACCACCAUAAUGAGACACACCCUGAUGCCUAAAUCAGGAGAUGAUAAGAUGAUUAGAGGUUAUUCCAUUACUAUGCUGCAUCAUUUAGACACCCACACCUAGUUCAGAGUGAUGGAGUUGAUAGUUGAGACUGCCAGGAGGACUGUUGUAGAUCAGAAGAGAUGAUGUGGUUAUGCUCCAUAUAUUCAUAUGCUCAUCAAUGCCAAGAUUGGAAAGCAUGCAUAUCUACUUGAUCGUCCCCACCUGCCACUUUAGCCAGAGUUUGAAGAUAAUGAAGUUGCGAUGGACUCAAUCCAUCCCAUCUCAGCUACAACUUGAGACAGAGCAGAGGCAACAGAGGCAGAGGGAUCUAGGAAUGCUCCAGCUCGAUCUCCAUAUCUCGGAACCAGAGAUGAGCAUAUGUCAUUCCUAGUCAGGACCAUCCAAGGGACGGAGAAUAUUUUUUUUGAGAUUUUGCUGAACCAAAAGAGUCUUGAGAGGAUUAUGGAAACAAAGUUCCAUGACCUAGAUGUUAAGGUGACGGGAUUGACUACCACUGUUCAGCAACUCCAGCAUGAAGUUGAUUCAUUGCAUAUAUCCCGCUCCAGCAGUGAUGAUGAAGAGUCGCCUCUUCCCACCAGUACUCAGUUCAGGACCCAGUCUACGGCAGUAGUUGUGCCAGUUCUGGAAGCAAGAUCAACUUCAUCAGCUCAAGCUUUAUCACCUUUAGCUCCAGCUCCAGCUCUAGCUCCUGCACCUCUAGUGUCGACACCUCCAGUUCCUGGGACAUCUGGAGAAGCCUUCGUUGACGCUCUCCUGUACACUCCAUCGUUAGCUAUUAGAGGAGAUCGAGCCUAGAGAGACGAUUAGUUCUAGAUCUUUGAACUUUUUGGUAACUUGUUGCCAAAGGGGGAGAAGUGUAUAGAUCAAAUGGGGCUUCAAAAGAGAGAGCUUUGUUUUUAUUAGAUCUCAUUUGUUUUUUCAAAACAUUUGGUCUUUUUGAUGACUUUAUCUUUUGGGAGAAGUGCUUGAUCAUACACUUUGAUUGUUUGAUGCUACCACGUUAUUACCUUUGAGCUAUCUACAUGAUUAUCAUUCACUUUCCUACUUGAUGUUAUGUGCAUUACUAUUCAUUCAUAUCACUUGUGCGCACCACCAAGGUGUAUGUGAAAUGGAAGAGUGACCCAUGAUCCUAAUCGAUUGUGCAUUUGCAUUCAAAUGCAAAAUGUUAAAUAAUGCACAAAUUUAGGGGGAUGUUUUGUUUUUCACAUACUUCUCAAAGUGUGGAUGCUAAUAAUUGAUUAUAUCUUUUAUCGAAGCUUUGAUCUAUAUGUUUUCAUCAAUUACCAAAGGGGGGGGGAGAUUGGAAGCAAAAUUGCUCCCUAAGGUGGUUUUGAUAAUUGAUCACAUCAUAUGCAUCAUUGGAAUAAUGAUCUUAUCCAAGUAUAUUUCAGAGAAGUUCAAAGAUGCAUUGGCUAAAGUAUUGUGAGGACAAACCCAUUGAUGAAGGAAAGGAACAAGAUUGGCUCAAGCUUCAAGCAAGAAGACUCUACAUUUUACAUUUUUGAGAAGUCACUUUUGAGUACAUAGGAAAGAAAAUACUAUUAAAAGGGGGUGAGGUAUUAUGAUGAAUUGGUUGCUCAAGUGCUUAGAGAUGGCCACAAAAACUAUUCACUCAUUCUCCCACAAAAUAUCUGUGUCCAAAGCCAAACCAGCAAAAUAUGUGCUACCAACGUUUUCCACUCGGCCCUACCGAAUUUUCACUAGACACAUCCUUUGCCAAACCCUAUCAUCUCGGUAACACUAACAUUCCAAAUCGGCGCCACCGAGAUCAGUGGCCAACUUUCCAUUGAGCAAAUUCCAAGAAUCGGAAUUUUUGAGAUUUGAAUCGGUCUCACCGAGAUUUGGAAACUGCUCUAGGUCAUCGUAUCGGUACCACCGAGAUUUAUAUAUCGGUCUCACCGAGAAUUCAAAAGUUGCCACAUUUAGUGCAACCCGGUACCAUCGAAAUUCAUUUCGGUGUCACCGAGUUAGUAAAUAAUUUUAUAAUGGUUGGAUUUUGGGGGAUGCCUAUAUAUACCCCUCCAUCUCCUGUCAUUCAUAGAGGAAGCACUCAAAACACACUUACACUUGUGAGAUCCAUUUUUCUAAGAGAGAGAGAGCCACCUACACAUGUGUUGAGAUCAAGAGAUUCCAAUCCAGCCAUUUGAAACCUGAUCUCUAGCCUCCCCAAGUUGCUUUCCACAAAAUCAAUGUCUCCUACCCAUGCCAAAUCUGUGAGAGAGUGAUUGAUUGUUGAGGAGACUAUCUUUUGAAGCACAAGAGCAAGUAUUUCAUCGUUAUACUGCACCUAUUACCUUUUGGAGGGUGGUGCCUCCUAGAUUGGUUAGGUGUCGCUUGGGAGCCUCCUACUUCGUGUUGUGGAGUUGAACCAAGAAGUUUGUAAGGGCAAGGAGAUCACCUACUUCGUGAACAUCCACCGUGAGUGUGGCUAGUCCUUUGUGGACGUAAGCCAUGGUGGAAUAGACAAGGCCAAUUCUUCGUGAACCCCUUGUGGGUGGAGCCCUCCAUGGACUCUCAUAGACGUUCUCCUCCGUGGGUUAAAGUCUCCACUAAUGUGGACGUGCGAUACCACCACCUAUCGGAACCACGCCAAAAAUCGCCGUGUCAACCUUUUGUGUUUGGUCUUCCUAUCUUACCCUCUACAUUACAUUUCGCUGCUAUACCCUUAUAUAUGCAUGUGUAGGGUGAACUUGACUAGUCAUAAUUUGGAAAACUGGCCCAUAACUAAAAUUGGGAAAAUUCUAAGUUUUUGUUUUGUCAAGUAGUCUAAUCACCCCCACUAGACAUACUUCGGAUCCUAAAGAUGUAUGGGAUGAUCAUGUUUUGUAUAGAUUAUCACGACUUGCAUGUCGGUGAGUAAGGAAGCCGACACAAGCCAUAGGGUUGUCUUUAAUUAAUUUGUGCCUUUUUUGCUUUACUUUAUUGCUAUGAGUUAGCAAUAGUUGUAGAAGCAUAGUUGGCGCAGUAACCCAAUGGCGACACGAUGAUGGAUUUCAUGAUGAGGAGAUCAUGGUGUUAUGCCGGUGACGAUGGAGAUCAUGCCGGUGCUUUGGAGGUGGAGAUAAAAAGCACAAGAUGAUGAUGGCCAUAUCAUGUCACUUAUAUGAUUUACAUGUGAUGUUAAUCCUUUUUGUUCAUCUUAUUUUUCUUAGGACGAUGGUAGCAUUAUAAGAUCAUCCCUCACUAAAAUUUCAAGAUAAAAUUGUGUUCUCCCCAAGUGUGCACCGUUGCGAGGGUUCAUCGUUUUGAGACACCACAUGAUGAUCGGGUGCGACAGACUCUACGUUCGUAUACAACGAGUGUAAGCUAGUUUUGCAGACGCAUAACACUUGGGUUAAACUUGACGAACCUAACAUGUAUAGACAUGGCCUCAGAACACAAGAGAGUGAAAGGUUAAACAUGAGUCAUAUAUGAGAUAUGAUCAACAUGGAGUUAUUCACCAUUGACACCACCUCAUCUCACGUGAACAUCGGGCUUGGGUUGGUGGAUUUGGAUCGUGUUACACUCAGACAACCUGAGGGAUGUUGAUUUGAGUGGGAGUUCUUAAGUUAUAUGAUUAAUUGAACUUAUUAUCAUGAACAAUAGUCUAAGUUAUCUUUGCAAAUUAUGUUGUAGGUCAAUGGCUUGUGUAGUAGCUCCCCUAAAUUUUAUUGCGUUCCUAGAGAAAUCUAAGUUGAAAUAUGAUGGAAUUAACUUUGUAGACUCGGUCCAUAGAUCUGAGGCCUAUCCUCACGGCUAUGCAAAAGGCUUAUGUCCUUGAUGCGCUUCUUGGUGUGAUGCCCCCUCCACUAUCGUUUGUGGACGUUGUGAACGUCUGGUAGGCACAUGCUAAUGACUACUCGAUAGUUCACUGUGCCAUGAUGUAUGGUUUAGAACCGGGACUUCGAAGGUGUUUUGAACAUCAUGAAGCAUAGGAUAUGUUCGAGGAGUUUAACUUUGUUUUUCAAGAAAAUGCCCAGAUCGAGAGGUAUGGGACCUCCAACAAAUUCUUUACCUGGAAAAUGGAAGAGAACAGUUCGAUCAGUGAGCGGAUACUCAGGAUGGCGGGGUACUACAACUGUUUGACUUAGGUGGGAGUUGAGAUUCCGCCUAAGAUGGUCAUUGAUAGAGUACUUCAUUCACUGCCAUCUAGCUACAAGAGCUUCGUGACGAACUAUAAUAUGCAAGGGAUGAACAAGUCCAUCUCUGAGAUAUUCGCGAUGUUGAAAGUCACGGAAGUAGAAGUCAAGACGGAGCAUCAAGUGUUGAUGGUGAAUAAAACUACUAGUUUCAAGAAGGGCAAGGGUAAGAAGGGUAACUUCAAGAAGAACAACAAAGAAGUUGCCGCUCCUGUGAAGAAACCCAAGGCUGGACCCAAGCUUGAGACUGAGUGCUUUUAUUGCAAGGGAACUGGCCACUAGAAGUGGAACUGCCCCAAGUAUCUGGCUGAUAAGAAGGUUGGCAAUGUCAACAAAGGUAAAUAUGAUAUACAUGUUAUUGAUGUGUACCUUUCUAGCUCUCGUAGUAGUGCAUGGGUAUUUGACACCGGUUCGAUUGCUCAUAUUUGUAACUCGAAAAAGGAACUACGGAGUAAAUGGAGGCUGACAAAGGACGAAGUGACGAUGCACAUGGGAAAUGGUUCCAAGGUUGAUGUGAUCAUCGUCGGCACGCUCUCUCUUCGAUUACCAUUGGGAUUAGUGAUGAACUUAAAUAAUUGUUAUUUGGUGUCUGCGUUGAGCAUGAACAUUAUAUCUGGAUGUUGUGUAAUGCGAGACGGUUACCUGUUUAAAUAACAGAAUAAUGGUUGUUUAAUUUAUAUGAGUAAUGUCUUUUAUGGUCAUGCACCCAAUGUGAAUGGUUUAUCCUUGUUGAAUCCUGAUAGUGAUGAUACAUAUUUAUAAGAUUGAUGCAAAAGAUGUAGAGUUAAUAAUGAUAGCACCACUUUCUUGUGGCAUUGCCGCUUAGGUCAUAUUGGUGUAAAACGCAUGAAGAAGCUCCAUGCUGAUGGACUUUUCGAGUCACUUGAUUUUGAAUCACUUGACACAUGUGAACCAUGCGUCAUGGGCAAGAUAACUAAAACCCCCUUUUACGGUACAAUGGAAUGGGCAAGUGACUUGUUGGAGAUCACACAUGCUGAUGUGUGCAGUGCAAUGAGCAUUUAAGUGUGCGGUGGAUAUCGUUACUUUCUCACCUUCAUCGAUGAUUUUAGUAGAUAUGGGUAUAUUUACUUGAUGAAGCACAAGUCUGAAAUGUUUGAACAGUUCAAGCAGUUUUAGAGUGAAGUUGAGAAUCAUUGUAACAAGAAGAUUAAAUUCCUGCGAUAUGAUUAAGAGGAUAAUAUCUGAGUUAUGAGUUUGGCAUGCACUUAACACAAUGUGGAAUUGUUUCACACCUCACGCCGCCUGGAACACCACAACGUAAUGGUGUGUCCAAACAUCAUAAUCGUACUUUAUUGGAUAUGGUGCAUUCUAUGAUGCCUCUUACCGAUUUUCCACUAUCAUUUUGGGGCUAUGCAUUAGAGACAACUGCAUUCACUUUAAAUAGGGAUCCAUCUAAAUCCAUUGAGACGACAUUGUAUGAAUUAUGGUCUAGCAAGUAACCUAAGUUGACGUUUUUUAAAGUCUGGAGCUACGAUGCUUAUGUCAAAAGGCUUCAGCCUCAUAGGCUCAAACCCAAAGCGGAUAAAUGGUCUUCAUAGGAUACCCAAAGGAAACAGUUGGGUACACCUACUAUCUCAUAUCUAAGGGCAAAGUGUUUAUUGCUAAGAACAGAUCCUUUCUCGAGAAAGAGUUUCUCUUGAAAGAAUUGAGUGGGAGGAAGAUAGAACUUGAUGAGCUUACUGAACCGUCACUUCAAACAUAGGAUAGCACGGCACCCAAAGAUGUUCAUGUGGCAACUACAUUAGUUGAAGAGUAAGCUAAUGAUGGUGAUCAUGAAGCUUUAUAUCAAGUAACUAUCGAACCUUGUAAGUCAACAAUGACACAUACCGCUCCUAUGUGGUACGCUAAUUCUAUCUUAGAGGUCAUGUUGUUGGACAACAAUGAACCUAUGAGCUAUGGAGAACCGACGGUGGGCCUGGAUUCCGAUAAAUGAUUAGAGGCCAUGAAAUCCGAGAUGGGAUCCAUGUAUGAAAAUAAAGUGUGGACUUUAGAAGUAUCACCUAAAGGUCGAAAGGCUAUUUAGAACAAAUGGAUCUUUAAGAGGAAGACGAACGCAGACGGUAAUGUAACCGUCAAUAAAGCUGGACUUGUGGCAAAGGGGUUUUCACAAGUUCAGAGAGUUGACUACGAUGAGACUUUCUUGCCCAUAGCGAUGCUUAAGUCCAUCAGAAUCAUGUUAGCAAUAGCUGCAUUUUUUGAUUAUGAAAUUUGGUAGAUGGAUGUCGAAACAACGUUCCUUAAUGGUUUCCUUAAGAAAGAGUUGUAUAUGAUGCAAUCGGAAGGUUUUGUCAAUCCAUAGAAUGCUGACAAAGUAUGUAAGUUACAGCGAUCCAUUUAUGGAUUGGUGCAGGCAUCUCAGAGUUGGAAUCUUCGGUUUGAUGAGGUGAUCAAAACGUUUGUGUUUAUACAAGUUUAUGGUAAAUCUUGUAUUUACAAGAAAGUGAGUGGGAGCUCUAUAACAUUUCUAAUAUUAUAUGUCGAUGAUAUAUUGCUGAUUGGAAACAAUACAUAACUUUUGGAAAGCGUGAAGAUAUAUUUGAGUAAGAGUUUUUCAAUGGAAGACCUCGGAUAAGCUGCUUACGUAUUAGGCAUCAAGAUCUAUAGAGAUAGAUCAAGAAGCUUAAUAGGACUUUCACAAAGUACAUACCUUGACAAGGUUUUGAAGAAGUUCAAAAUGGAUGAGUCUAAAAGGGACUCUUGCCUGUCCUACAAGGGGUGAAGUUGAGUAAGACUCAAUGCCCAGUGACUCUAGAGGAUAGAGAGAAGAUGAGUGUCAUCCCCUAUGCUUCAGCCAUAGGCUCUAUAAUGUAUGUGAUGUUAUGCACAAGACCAGAUGUCAGCCGUGCCAUAAGUAUGGUCGCAAGGUUUCAAAGUGAUCCAGGAGUGGAACACUGGACAACAUUAAAGAAUAUCCUUAACUACCUGAAAAGGACUAAGGAGAUGUUUCUCGUUUAUGGAGGUGAUCAAGAGCUCGUCGUAAAGGGUUACAUCAAUGCUAGCUUUGACAGUGAUCCGGAUGACUCUAAGUCUCACUCCGGAUACGUAUUUAUUAUAAAUGGUGGAGUGGUAAGCUGGUGCAGUUCCAAGCAAAGCAUGGUAGCUGAUUCUACAUGUGAAGCGAAAUACAUAGCUGCUUCGGAAGCAACGAAGGAAGGUGUGUGGAUGAACGAGUUCAUGAUAGAUCUUGGAGUUGUGCAGAGUGCACUGGAUCCAAUGCGCCUAUUUUAUGACAGCACUGGUGCCAUUGCUCUAUCCAAGGAAUCAAGGUUUCACAGAAGCACGAGACAGCGAAAGUGCCGCUUCAAUUUCAUCCGCGAUUAUGUCAAGGAGGAGGAAAUAAACAUUUGCAAAGUACAUACGGAUCUGAAUGUUGGAGAUCCAUUGACUAAACCUGUUCCACAAGCAAAACAUGAUCAACACCAGAACUCUAUGGGUGUUAGAUUCAUUACCUUGUAAUACUAGAUUAUUGACUAGUGCAAGUGGGAGACUAUUGGAAGUAUGCCCUAGAGGCAAUAAUAAAGUGGUCAUUAUUAUAUUUCCUUGUUCAUGAUAAUCAUUUAUUAUCCAUGCUAUAAUUGUAUUGAUAAGAAACUCAAAUACAUGUGUGGAUACAUAGACAACAAAGUGUGCCUUGUAAACCUAUACUGGUCUAGCUCGUUGAUCAAAGAUGGCUAAGGUUUCCUAACCAUAGAUAGGAGUUGUCAUUUGAUAACGUGGUCACAUCAUUAGGAGAAUGAUGUGAUGGAGAAGACCCAAACCGUAAGCAUAACAUUUGAUCGUAUCAAUUUUACUGCUAUUGGUUUCUGCAUGUCAAUGUAUCUCUUCCUAUGACCAUGAUAUCAUGCAACUCACUAACACACGAGGAAUGCCUUGUAUGUAUCAAAGGCUACAACGUAGCUGGGUGAUUAAAAAGAUGCUCUACAGGUAUCUCCGAGGGCGUCUGUUGAGUUGGCAUCGAUCAAGACCGGGAUUUGUCACUCCGUAUGACGGAGAGGUAUCUGGGGCCCACUCGGUAAUACAACAUCACAAUAAUCUUGCAAGUAAUGUGACUCAGGAGUUAGUCACGGGAUCUUGUAUUACGAAAUGAGUAAAGAGACUUGCUCGUAACGAGAUUCAACUAGGUAUGGAGAUACCGGCGAUCGAAUCUCGGGCAAGUAACAUACUGAUGGACAAAGGAGUUGCGUACGAGAUUAGCUGAAUCCUUGACAUUGUGGUUCGACUGAUAUAUAUCAUCAUAGAAUAUGUAGGAACCAAUAUGGACAUCUAGGUCCUGCUAUUGGUUAUUGACCGUAGAGGUGUCUCGGUCAUGUCUACAUAGUUCUCGAACCCGCAGGGUGUGCACACUUAACAUUUCGUGAUGAUAUAAAUAUAGUUGAGUAAUUGUGUUGGCGAUCGAAGGUUGUUCGAAGUCCCGGAUGAGAUUCUGGACAUGACAAAGAGCUUCGGAAUGGUCAGAGGUGAAUAUUGAUAUAUGGGAAGUAGAUAUUCGAGUUUCAGAAGGUUACCAGUUUUGUGAAGGAGGUUUCAGAAGAGUUCCGGGGGUCCACCGGGAGGGCCCACUAGCCCACCUGCCUCGGAGGGCCCCAUGGGCUGUGAGAGGUGGCGCACCAGCCCCUAGUGGGUUGGCCGUCCCUCCCACCUAAGGCCCAUGCGGCCAAGGAGGUGGGCUGGCCCAGAUGUGGCCACCGCCCCACCUAGCUUGGGGGCCAAGCCACAUAGGUGGCCGCCGCCCCACCCAAGGGGAAACCCUAGGGCACCACCCCUCCUCCCUCCCUCCCAUAUAUACUAGAGGANCUCUCUCUCUCUCUCUCUCUCUCUCUCUCUCUUUCUCUCUCUCUCUCUUUGUCUCUCGUAGUUCAUCUCUCUCAUUCUGUCACGGCACCGCAUGGCGAAGCCCUCCCGGGACAGCUCCAACAUCACCGCCACCACACCGUCGUGCUACCGGAAAACUCAAGCUACUAUUUCACCAUCGCUGGCUGGGUCAAGGAGGUGAAGGCGCCAUCGAGCCAUACGUGUGGUGAACACGGAGGUGUCGUCCGUUCGACACUUAAUCGGGACGCUCGUGAUGGCUCGCGGGACGGAUCGUGAUUGGAUCGUGAAGACGUUCGACUACAUCAACCCCAUUUGUUAACGCUUCCGCUUAGCGAUCUACAAGGGUAUGCAUAAGCAAUCCCUCUCUUGUAGCCCUUGACAUCCAUAGAUUGAUCUUGGUGAACGUAAGAAUUUUUUUGUUUCCCAUGUGAUGUUCUACAAUAGUUGUUACUCUUAUUGGUUCGAUAAACCUUGGUUCUCUACUAAGGGAAAUACUUACCUACAAUGUGGUACUUCACCCGUUCCUCUUCCCGAAAAACCCAACGUGGAUCACCAGCAUCACCGCACGUGCUCCAUGGUGGCACCUUAUCAAGUAUGGACUACUAACAGAGGCGCGUCAUCCACCUGAACAACCUUUAUAAAGAGCCAGAUGCGAAAGGAGCAACAAAACAUCGCAGAAUACCGCCGAACAAGCCACUCUUCACAUUUCCCAUCUACACCAACCCUAUCCACCACCUUUUUCCCAUCUCCAUAGACACAACCUUCACCACCACCAUAGUUCUCAGCAAUGUAGUCAUACUUGUAUUCGUGUAAAACACAGACAACCAUUGUAACACAUAUUAUCGAUCAAUCGAUCUUCAUGAUGUGGUGUUCGAUGAGUUCUUCAUGUGAUCUAAUCUCCAUGUGUGAGUAGUUCGGUAAGGUCAUGGGUUUAGGCAAGAGCCUUGUAACCUGAUGUAUUUGUUAGGGGAUCAAAGGAAGUACUUUAUAUUAACAUCGCCUAUGUGUAACAUAGGAUUGUUCCGUAGUUGUCUCUUGUCUCGUUCGCGUUCUUCAUCCUAACAGGUACCCAGGAUCAUGGAGACAGAGAGUCAUGGAGAGGCUAAGGGCAGGGAGACCAUGAAGUGUUAUUCUAAACACCGAUGACCGAAUGCUUUAGUACGCUAAUACAUAUCCUAUACUUGGGGAUUCAAGAGGAGUAGUUAUUUAAAGCCCAAUGCCUUUGUCUAAAUAUUGCUAUCUUAAUUACCGACACAACCCCGCGCAAAGGAUAAGGCCUUUGGUUGGAUAACCGUCUCUUGAUGCAGGACACGUUUUGGUCAAUACAUAAUUUGGACACAUCCCUCACUUUGAUAUGUAGCAAGCACAUCUUGAUGGAUAACUUCCAAAGCACAAAUUAAGAUCAUGAUGAUCCCAACACAAUUAUAUGGUUGUAACACAAAAAAUGUGCCUAGUUUUUAGUAUAAGUGUUUUCAGCAUCAACUUGAUUUAUGAACGGGCCAAAAGCUGGAAUUUAAUUUUCUAGCAAAAGCUUCUUUGAAACCCUAGCUUAAAGGGCACAUUCCUCUCGUGUGUUUGAUAACUUAGGGUCACCUCUGGGGAAAAGGGUGCCAAUCCUUAUUGCUCAAUUUUUGGAUCACCAAAGGAACUAAUCAGUUGUGUAGAUGCUUUAGUAGUAAUCCAUGGUUUUGUGUUUUAAGAUCCAAUCCUUCUACACCACCCAUGUCCAUCGAGCGAUAGAUGAGGUUCCACGCAACAAGAUAAUUCAACUUGACACCAUCGCCAGUCUUGUUCCUCCACCCGCAUGUUCUCGUAAGUUUGUCAAUGUAUUCCACGAUCAUGGGAGGCAGUCUAAGCAUACACAUUGCAUAGAUCGAAAGUGAGGUAUACACCGAGUUGGACAAUGGUUAGUUUUUCCCCAAAUGGAAGCAGGCGGGAGGUGGCAGCGAGGCGUUGUUUCAUCGAGACCACCACAACCAUAAGAUUAACAACACUGGAACGGGUCGUGUCAACCGACAAAUCAAAAUAUGUGAAGGACAUCACCCCCACCGUGCACCCCAAAGAUACCGAGAAUAUGGUUCGCAUCCUGUUGGUUCAUGUUGAUGGGAAUCAAUGUUUACUUAUGAAAGUAAAUCUAGAGUCCAAUCGAUUCAGCAAAUAUCAAGAGAUUGCACUUAAUGCACUGAACUUGUGUUGGGCAGGUUGGCAUGACGACUAGCGUAUCAUACACAUACUAAACCAUGGGGUAGUCCUGGCAUCUCGUGGAUUUUGGCCGAGAGAUCAAUCAUUUGGCAAAUGCGUCAUUUAUCACCGUCUGCAGGAGAUUGUCCGCGAGAAUGAAUAUUAAUGGGGAUAGGGGUCCGUGUAACGCACAUCGCCAUGAUGUCUACUACACAACUUUAUUAUUCUAGACUCUGUUGGGCCUCCAAGCGCAAAGUUUUGUAGGAUAGUAGCAAAUUCCCCUCAAGUUGAUGGCCUAAGGUUUAUUAAUCCAUGGGAGGUGUCGGAUGAAGAUGGUCUCUUUCAAACAACCCUACAAUAAAAUACAAGAAAUCUCUUGUGUCCCCAACACACCGAAUACAAUGGUAAAUUGUAUAGGUGCACUAGUUUGGCGAAGAGAUGGUGAUAGAAGUGCAAUAUGGAUGGUAGAUAUAGGUUUUUGUAAUCUGAAAAUAUAAAAACAGCAAGGUAUCAAGUAGUAAAAGUGAGGAUAACCAAUAUUGCAAUGCUUGGAAAUAAGGCAUAGGGUUCAUACUUUCACUAGUGCAAUCUCUCAACAGUGCUAACAUAAUAGAAUCAUAUGAUCAUCCCUCAAUGUGCGACAAAGAAUCACUCCGAAGUUCAUAUCUAGCAGAGAACAUAAGAUAAAAUUGUUGUACGUAGUAGAACCACCUCAAACAUAUUGUUUCCGAUCAAUCUAUUGAGAUAUUCCUAUAAGUGUCACAAACAACCCUAGAGUUUGUACUAAAACAACACCAAUGAUACACAUCAAGCAACCCUAAUGUACCCAACAGAAAGAACUUCAAAGACUACUCCAAGAUUUUUAUAGGAGAAAGUAGAACACGAACGUGUAUUAACCCAUAUGCGUAGAUUACCCUGUUGCCACCAUGGGAAUCCACAAGUUGAGUACCGCAUAUGUGAUGUGAAUCAAUAGAACACCCCAUUGUCACCACGGGUAUCCACGAGUACCACAUAUAUGAUGUGAAUCAAUAGAACAUCAAGUGGUCUCAAAUCCAAUUUUCAAUCCGACAUAACAAAAUAUCAAGGGAAAGAAUGAAUUCGUCACAUCAAAAAAGCAAGGGACAAACACCAUACGAUCAAACUAUAUUAACAAAGCAUGUGAUACAUCAAGAUCGUGGCAUCUCAAGAACACGAGAGAGAGAGAGAGAGAGAGAGAGAGAGAGAUCAAACACAUAGCUACUGGUACAUACCCUCAACCCCGAGGGUGAACUACUCCCUCUUUGACUUGGAUACCGUCGGGAUGAUGAAGAUGGCCUCCGGUGAUGAUUGCCCCCUUUGGUAGGGUCCUGGAACAGGGCUCUAGAUGAGUUUUCUUAGGUGGUGGAGCGGAAGCUCUCGGUUAACUUAUGAGGGUUUUGGGAUUUAUAGGAUUUUCAGCAUUGGAAUCAGGUGGACUGGAGCCACGGGAUGGACCCAAGCCAUGAGAACGUGCCCAAGGGGUGGGCACACCCUGUUGGCUUGGCACCAAUAUGUGGCCCCCUUUAAUGGUUCUUCGCUCCGGUAUUUCUUAUUUGCUCCAGAAAAAAUCAUCAAAAAGUUUUGGGACAUUCAUUGGUGCAUGCUUGAUGUUGUCAAAGGCUUUAGUGAAAUCAAGUUUGAGAAAACAACUCUCCUUGCAAGAUGCAUGUUAUUAAUGUAGAAAAUCGAAUGACCAUGCGAGACAAUCAUGUAUAGUCCUCCCCUUCGAGAAUCUGUAUUGGUUUCUUUGCAUGAUUCCAGGAUCAAUCUUUGAAGAUGGUUAUCCUGGAGCUUUGUGAUCACCUUAAGACAUAAGUUUAGUAGUGUAAUUGGGUGACAAUCGUUAGGUGACUUAGGGUAAUGGACUUUAAGGAUGGUUGUUAUGAAACCUACAUUUUUACUAGUGUAAUUGGGCGAUAAUCGUUGGGUGACUUGGGGUAAUGGACUUUAAGGAUGGUUGUUAUGAAACCCACAUUUAUUCUUUCCAGAUCCAGUUACCACUUUGGAAAUUGUCGCAUAGCUUGUAUAAAUCAUGCUUAAUAAUGUGUUAACAAGACUCCAAAAAGCAACCAUUGGACUGUUCUGAGCACGGUGAUCGGUUCUCCGACAUCUUCUAAACCACCUUGUCUAUUUCAUCACGUGAGAAUGAAAAGGACAGAUCCUCCUGACUCUCCACCUUGAAGAUUAUCUCGGCGAUAUCAAACUUAAUGUUAGUGUCAAUGGGUUGUCCCAGAUGCUCUCAUAAUUCAUCAUACAAAGCAGCCUCUUUGUCGACGUGAUCGGGCACAACCGUGUGAUCUGGCAUGUUAAGAGAGGCAAGUGAGUUCAAGUGGAAUCUCUCCAUGGCAAUCACAUGAACGAAACUCGUAUUACCAUCACCAAAUUUAAAGUAUCUCAAUGUGCACCUUUUUCUCCAAUAUUGUUGUUUGUAAUCCGACAACUUAAGCGAAUGUUCCUUGAUGAUAAUUCCGAAGUUUGUUUCUAGGGUGGUGAGGACCCUUCUAUGCUGUAGGCCAUCGAUCUGCAGAAGUACCCAAUUUUUGUUCUCGAUCAGUACACCGAGCCUAGAGAUACUUCUACUCAAAUUCUUAAGGUCACAUUGCAAUUUCUUUAGCUUUUGAAACGACAAGGCCACCGAUUUGUGUGCAAAACAAUGUUUAUUCCAUGAGUUCUGGACCACAUCGAAGAAUUAGUGGUGAUUUACCCAGAAAUUCUCAAACCUAAAGACUUUGUAUUUGUGUAUUGAGGAUUCAAUGACAAAACACGCGGGGUGUGAUUCGACAUAGGUUUGCAUUUUGGCAUAACUUGCGUACUGGGGCUUGGUCCUCCAAUUAACAAACGUGAAAAACCAACCAAACGGGGAUGAACUCGAUGUGUAUGUUGCCGAUUUGAGGGUGUCGCGAGGGAGAAAGAGAGGGGGUGAUGGAUCGAGGGCGGCUCUUUUCUUGUAGUGGAGAUAAGAACACAAUGGGGUGUUGUUCAUGUGUGUUGUUGAGGGUGGCGUGUGAGGUGGUGCGCCAGGAGCAAUGGCUCGGCCUCACUCAUGGGCCUCAUACUGGCCUGACGAGUUGCGCGCGUUAUGGAGGCCGGGUGGGAUCGACAGGGCUCGUUGCUAUCGCAUCUACCUCACGUGUUUCGCGUGCUUGGACACACACGAGGGAGGCGUGGGAUCGUUCAGAUCUGUUUCUAAUGAACGAUCAGUCACAAGAUUUCGAUGUCCUAUUUUAAGAUAUCACUUCAUUUCUAACGAGCUAAUGGGUCGAGAGGGAAAGUAUCUGAUGAUUGGUUACCUAUAAAUGAUCCUACAAUUCUAACCUUCAUAAAGUAAAUUUAGACAUUUAAAAAAAUUAUGAUUUUUCUAGGGUUCACAAGACAUGAUUUUACAAGCGCUAAAAAAUCAUAUCUAAAUUUGAAGUUACCAUGGAGAGACAAAAUUGAAAAUCUAACAUGAAUAGUGCCAUAACAUGUAGCCCUUCGGUUGUGCUCAAGAGACUCAAGGAAAUUAUGGUAGCUCGCCUAUUGUCGGUACCGCUGCAAGUCUACCCCAUCUUCUGUGGCCUUAGGCCAUGGAGGAGCGGUGAAUCUCGGCCCUUGCCGGCCAGAAGGCUCCAACUCCAUUUUAGGUGUCUUUUUGUAUCCGUUUGGUGUUUGUGUCCUGCUGAGGAAGUCGAGGCGAUAAAAGCUUCCUAAAGAUGAAAUAAUUUUCUCCCCGCCUAGCCAUGUCCAGGUGGUGCGUCUAGCCUUGUCGGAGGGCGUGUGGAGGUGUGUCUCCGGUGAAUCUCAUGGGAUUCGGUCGACAUUUCUCUUUCAGUGAAUCCGCUUGGAUUUGAUUUUCAUUUGUGUGCGCCCGUGUGUCUACAUGUUAGAUCCUUUCAAUUUACGAUUCUCUUCAUCGACGACGAUUCUUGUUCUUGUGUAUUGGUCCUAUGGUAUCUUAGCACGAUGACUUUUCGACUCUCUAUCACAACAAGGUUUGGUCGGGUGUGACGAGGAGGUAGGAGUGAUGAUGGCGACCAGGCUUUGACUCGCUCGAGUGAUUGUAGUCAUCGCUAGGUGGUCUACGGAUUUAGAUGUAUUACCUGUGGUGGUCAUUCUACUAUCUUGACAAGUGAUGGAUAGAUCGGAAAUUUUCUCGAAAAAAAAUAGUGCUAUAAAAAGGCAAUAGCAAAAAAUGUCACUAUCCACAUAUAUAUUUUUCUUUUGUUUCUCAAUGUUUAUUUCGAAUUUGCGUCUGAAUUUUUUAGGGGUCCUAGACUAGGUUUUGUGAACAUUCACAAUUUUUUGGUAGAAUAUUUAAAUUAUUCAAAUUGGUCUUUUUUUGAAAUGAAAGAUGGGAGCAUGUCGGAAUUGGUAUCUCUGGAUACUUUCCCUGGGUAUAGACUAGUGAGCAGAGACUUACAGUACGUAUGUAGCCGUCUAAUUUUCUGGGCGUACGUGUGUUCCAUGCCACAUGUAGUAGUAUAUCUAUAAUACAAUUUCUUUGCCCCGGAAUGUGUUCCAUGAUGGCCAUGUGUUCCGUGGAUGCAAAUCAGUUCUUCGCCUCCGAGCCACCACUAGUACAGCACUGUAGCCACAGGCAUGGUCACUUCCAAGACGCAAAACCAUUUUUUCAUUUCCCAUACGCGAACUAAGGCCGGAUAUGCAACUGCAGGAUACGAUAUGGUGCAACGAAUGUGGCGGAAGAGGACAAAACCGAACAAGAAGGACAAUGAUUCCACGGAAGAUUAGAUCUCCGAUCCCCUGCGGCACUCCUGCAGUCAGUGACAACUGACAACUGAUGACCAGGCAAAGGACGGGAAUCAAAGGCUGACAAGCAAAGUGACUUCACAUCAUCUUCGAAAAUUGGAUAGCAUCUACUAUAUCUCAAAUGAUUGCGUCCACGGUAUCAUAUGGAAGCGUACGCUUUAAUUUCCUUAUCCGAGGAGGGAGCCAAUGAUGCGGUGCCGUGCCGAUCACAUCAGGCAUGCCGUGGAUGAGAUCAGUAGGCAUCUAGGAGUAGCUACGCUCUCCACCACCACCACCACCACUCCGCCAGGAUGAGUGGAUCGCGAGGAAUGCCCUGAUAAAGAUGGCGAUCAAACGUAAAGAGUGCGAUCGGGCUCUGGGCCUACGGGCGGAUUUGCGUGCCAAUCUUAGUUUUGGCCACUUCCGGUUGGUACCUACGGACCUACCUACUCGCUGUGGGUCGAUGGAUGCGCAUGAACAUGAUGCUUCUCGGGGACGCUUGCAAUUGCGGCGCACACAUUCUCCUCGUGCGAGAUCGACUGAUCGAUCGUUGGCCCACCGGCAUUGUACCACACAGAUCUGCUAAGGCUCGACUGAGCUAAACAUCCCACCUAGUAGCUGUAGCGCGAUCCUCUUUUGCCAGGUCCUGGCCGCUUUUCUCGCCCGAGGGUUGUGAAGCAAGGAAGGGAGAAAUGAAUGUCCCAACUCCCAACUGUAUUUAGGAGCCCUUUGAUAGCCGGCAUUAAGGUUUAGCCAGACCCGCGCAUAAUGAUUUUGACUUAUUUGAUUGUUCAGGGCACAUUAAAAAAAUUAGCUCGCACGAAAUAUAAAGCAUCUAUGCGCAUGCAUACCAAAAACGGUCGAAUCAGAUGUUUUUUUAGAGCCAGUCCCAAGCGUUGCAACCCGAGGCACGUGGGUGUGGACGGUUUGUACGCGUUGAUGCGGAAUCGAGACAUCAUGUUGUUUCCCGAAGCUCCGACAUAAACUACCGUCAAUUUCCUCCCCUCACAGCUCUCUUCCCCUCUUCCCCACUCACAUCAACGGCGGUGAGCACCAGAGCCUAGACGCCUGCGAGCAUGGGAUUGACCAGCGCAUCGGCAAUGGCGAUAAGACCUUAUCCUCUUUUCGAUUUACUGAUUGGCAUAAGGGAAACACGGCCGAUGAAUCCUAGAAUCCACCGGUUUCACAUGGUCCUUUUUGGAUUACCAGUGGGUGAGGAUUUUGGUAAAACAAACUUACAAGCAUCGAUCCUAGCAGCGGCAACCUUGAAGUCGCUUAGAAGGGGGGGUAGCUUUUUUCUUGUCUUUCCACCUCCUCCACAACACCAUUUGGAAUCUCGUCCUCGUCGUUUUCGCUAUGAAUGAUGGGUCUUGCACAGUCGUGUGCCGCCGGCACCUGAACACCAUUUGUAGCGCAUAGUGGUCGUCCUCUGGCGCCGUGUAACAUCCGGACACACCCGUCGAUGGUCGUUACUCGUGGCGGGAUCUAGACUGGCUCCAAAGAUCAAUACUAGUCUUUUCUGCACAGUUUGUCCACACUCAUGCGCACCCGGGACCAACUUCCCAAUCGGUCACCCAUCCUAAAUCUACUCCAAGCCAAACACGCUUAACCUGGGAGUUCUCUUCGAAUUGGCUCCCGGAAAAGAAGGAAUUCGCCCUANNNNNNNNNNNNNNNNNNNNNNNNNNNNNNNNNNNNNNNNNNNNNNNNNNNNNNNNNNNNNNNNNNNNNNNNNNNNNNNNNNNNNNNNNNNNNNNNNNNNAGAGAGAGAGAGAGAGACGGAUCGUAGUAGCAGCUCCUAUCUCCCAACCUCACGGCGACACGACCCUGCUCCGCCAUUUGAAAACAAAGGAGGCCAAGGCGCUGUUUUCCUGCAGCGGAGCGACUUUGAUGUGCUUCGAGUUCGAGCUGGCGGACCAACGUGGGCCGCACGGCAGCGGCCGGGCGGCGAAGGGCGGCGACGGGGCGGCGCCGGAGGGAAUGACGACAAUGGCGAGCCCGGCGGACCUCAUGUCGGGCUACUACCAGGCGCAGGAGAUGUCCACGAUGGUGUCGGCGCUGUCGCGGGUCGUGGCGGAGGACGACCCGUGGGCGGCGGCGUCCGGCUCCGGCUCCGGCGCGGAGGGCUGGGGCUGGGAGGAGCAGGCAAUGCACGCCGGCGCUGGCGGCGGCUACGUGCACGAGCUUGGGAGCUUCCCUUCUUCAGAGUUCGCAGGUAACGAGCAGUCAACACACGCAUGCUGUUGCUAGGCUACGCUUCGGCCUGCUCUAGAAGAAGAGCUUUGCAUGCUCUUUGCUCUGCUUUUGCCUUGGAUUUGAUAUUUGCUCCACCCAGCUGCGCAUGCUCUGCUUUUCCCCGAUUGCAUUCUUGCAUGCUACUCCAUCUCGAAACGUGGCAGAUAAGCUGAUUUUUCUUCUUCGCGAUAUUAAUAUAUUUAAGAUGCAUUCAGAGGUUUACCAGAAGUAUCAUAACAAGCUUGUAAAGAAGGAAAAUGUCGAUAUCCAUGGGUGCAAAACAACAAGUUCUAGCAGUAUUUUACAAGAAUAUAUUUUAGAUAGAGGUAGAAAAAGGCCCGGGGAGUAUAUAUAGGAGUAUAACUUAACUUAACCAAGAAGACAAUCGAUGAAGUUGGAACCUUUACGUUUCUAUAGUUCUGAUCAAGUCAUAAAGAAUCGGUGAACACGUGUAGUGCUAGUUUUGGUCAGUGCAGAGCCCUAGGCACAAAAUGCAGACUCAUUUCUUUGAAGAAAGAGGAAAAUGCGUGCCCAACAUGCAAGCGUGCGCAGGUAUAACAAACCGGUCGUACUACGUACGAAUGGCAUGUAGCUCAAAAUCGAAACGUUGGACGGAACCGAGGCGCAUGGAUUCCUCGUAGCUGACAUAAGGAAAAUGAAACAAACCCUAUCUCCAAACCUCACACACCCCAUCUGCUGCACAGUUGUACGCCAUUGAACCAAGUCUUAAAAAAAAUGGACAUUGAACCAAGUCUUGGAAUCCACUGCACCUCUACAACGCAACAAGGAUGCAAAGGCAUUCCCGUGUGAACACCCUUCAGGUAGCAUUUCAUCGUACCUAGGUACGUAUAAAAUACAGUGCGUCGGUCUUCGUAGUAUCAUGUACACGCACGUGUCAUCGACAUGCCUGCGUUACGCAUACCAGCGCCAGCGAGAGUACAGCCGAUAGAGAGCUCAUUUCUUUCCUGAAAGGGCAGGGCAUUUUUCUUUCAUCCCCUUCCUUCUUUUUCGCAACGAAAAGCGAUUGGAAUUCUGCGUUCGUGCUUAUCACUUUGCUGGCAGCAUGAAUACUCCCAUAUCUUUUCUCUUCUGCUUUCCAGUUCAUUCUCGAAAUGAACUCCUCGGUGAUCGGGACGGGCGCGUCAUUAACAACACCCUGCGAGUCGCGCUCCGGUGCACAUUCACUGCAUGCGGGGCGCGAAAACGGAGCAAGUGCACAACUUGAACCGCGCUUUGCAUUCCUUCCGCUUUCGAUUUGCUUCGCGCCUCGUGACUUGGCGAGACCGUGUAUAAAUAUGCUUCCGCGUGCGUGCGCAGGGUCGGACCAGAGCUCGGACACCCAGGGCCAGAGCGCGGCGACCAUGGAGGAACACCGCUCCCGCUCCCCGGCGGCGUCCAACGCGGCGGCGGAGGCGGAGGCGCCGCGCCGGAGGUACCGCGGGGUGCGGCAGCGGCCGUGGGGCAAGUGGGCGGCGGAGAUCCGGGACCCGCACAAGGCGGCGCGCGUCUGGCUCGGCACCUUCGAGACGGCCGAGGCCGCGGCGCGCGCCUACGACGACGCCGCGCUGCGCUUCCGCGGCAGCCGCGCCAAGCUCAACUUCCCCGAGGACGCGCGCCUGCACCCGCCCACCGUCGCCCCCGCCGCCGCGCCGAUCGCCGCGGGGUCGGCCUCGCCGGCUGUCUACGCCGCCGGCGCCUCCCAGGCCUCCGACUACCUGCGCUACCAGAUGCUGCUGCAGGGCAGGGGCGCCGCCGCCAACCAGGGCAACCUUCUCUCGUUCUACGGAGGCGCCGGCGGCGGCGGCAUGAGCAGCUCCUAUGGCGGCGGCGGCAUGAGCAGCUCCUAUGGCGGCGGCGGCGACGGCGGCGCCAUGAGCGGUUUCCUGGGCUCAUACUACUCGUUCCCGUCGUCCGCCGUCUCGGUGGCCACCGUGCCGUCCUCCUCCUCCGCGUCCUCUGCACCGGGGCACUACUACUCGUCGUCGCACGACUCGCAGCAGCAGCAGCAGCAGCAGGGCGACGCGGCGGCGGAGUGGAGCUGGGAGAGCGCGCUGGCGCCCUACCCGGGGACGGCGGCGGCGGCCUCCUGGUCCGGCUCGAGCCAGCAGCAGUACCACCCGCCGCACACCCAAUAGCGCCAGAGCCAACCAAGAUUCCGCGCCGUCUCCGGACGGACGGAAGAAUAAGGCGCGUACGGACGGCGACGGCGACGGGCAGCAAGCGGAAGGGAGCUCCAGAAUGAUGGCGUCACACUCGGGGUCGAGGGAUGGCAUGUGUUGAUUGAUGACAGCCGUGGGCUCGUUUUGUUGGUUCGUUGAUUAGUUUGGGUGGGCAGUGCCCAGUUUUUAGUACUUUCUGCUUUGGUUAUUGCUAUUACCUACUGCGAAAUUAAGCGAUGGAACGGAAGAGCGAGCGUGACCGACAUGCUUUUUUGCGAGUGGAUGCAUUUGGGAAGGUUUAAUCGUGUCAUUUGGGGCAAAUAAUUGUUUGCUGGCAGCUGGAUUUGUAGCGUGUUCUCUGCAAAACAUGGCAUGGAUUAACUCGUAUCGAUUUUCAUUCAGGACUUGUUUGGUACGGGUGGUUUUGAAAAGAUUGGUGAGG